AGUUAGAAGUCACUAAAUUGAACAUGCAAUCGGUGUGUGAAUAUGCCAAAACCAUGUCGGACUCCAUAGUUUUCUCUGGUCCCCUGCCCGAUCAGACAACUGAUGAGAUGUGUAGCCGUAUCUCAUCAUUCAACCGCUGGCUGUCAAGGUGGUGUGCGUAAAACGGCGUGGGCUUCAUUGAUAAUUGGAAGUCGUUUUGGGGCAAGCCUGGUCUGAUUAGUCGGGACGGCAUUCAUCCCACUCGAGAUGGAGCGGCCCGUUUAUCCAGAAAUCUGGCCAAUUCUAUUAAUCUGAAUCACUGACAACUCAGAGCAGAGCUCAGGGAGCAGGGCCGCAGUCCUGCACACCCCCCUGUAUGCCCCCCUGCACCUCCUUUAGAGCAGCUUCCCAGCCACUGUCACUUAUAUACAGAGACAAGGGAGUAGAGCCGCAGUCUUACACGCCCCUCUGUACUCCCUUUGGAGCAGCCUCCUAGCUACAAUCAGUUUGAUAUAGAGAUCAGGGAGCAGAACUGCAGUCCUACAUGCAUCCUCUGUACUCCCUUCAGAGCAGCUUCCUAGCUACAAUCAGUUUGAUAUAGAGAUCAGGGAGCAUAGCCGCAGUUUUACACAUUCCUCUGCACUUUUUGUUAGAGCAGCCUCCUCAGCUACUGUCACUUUAAUAUAGAGACUCUGUCUGUCCCUCAUCCUCGGCUCUUUAAUUCUAACUGAUCGAUUAACACAGGAGAAAAUAACAAGAACCUUACUAGAAUUAAAACUGCUAACAUUGCUGAACCGAGUAGUAGUAAGAUUAAAUGUGGUCUACUGAACAUAAGGUCUCUAAGUUCCAAAUCUGUGUUAAUAAAUGAACUAAUCUCUGAUCAUCGCAUUGAUUUACUCUCCCUAACCGAAACUUGGCUGCAUCAGGAUGAAUAUGUCAGUUUAAAUGAAUCCACUCCUCCUAGCCACCUCAGCUUUCACAUUCCUCGGGACUCUGGCCGAGGUGGUGGAGUUGCAGCUAUUUACAAUUUCAAGACCAAAACUGAAUUGUAACUCUUUUGAAAGUCUUGUUCUCAGUCUUCCGCAUCCAGCCAUUUAUUUUUAUUUUUUUUGUUGUUGUUGUUGCUUUUCUGUUUGAGGAAAACGGAUGGAAAUUAGCCUUAGCUAACUCCGGCUGGUUUACAAUGAGAAUAGACAUACAUAUUUCUUGUAUCAUGUCUUCUUCUCUUUGUCCAUGAACUGGUACUGUCCUGUCUAAAUAAAUAAAAUACAUAAAUAAAUAAAUACCACUGGUAUUCACUAUAGUUUAUCGCCCUCCCAGCCCAUACUCAGCGUUUUUGUCAGAAUUCUCAGAGUCCUUCGUGCAGACAAAGUCAUUAUCGUUGAUGACUUUAAUAUUCAUGUGGAUGUGGAAAAUGAUAGCCUAAGCAUUUCUUUCUUGUCCUUUCUAGACUCAAUUGGGUUUACACAGUGUGUACAUGGACCUAUGCACUGCUUUAACCACACCCUCGAUCGUGUCCUGGCUUACGGCCUUGAAGCUGAAGCCUUGCCAGUAGGCUUAUUAAAUCCUCUUUUAUCGGAUCACUUUCUAGUAACUUUUGAAUUUGUGCUUUUAGGCUACUCUCCCCAUAACAAAACCGUGCAAACUAGAAGGUUGUCUGAAAAUGCUGUGACUAAGUUCAAGGAGGCAAUUCUGUCUGCUCUUAAUUCUGUGCUUGAGAAGAACUUCGCUGAUAGCUCAUACUUGAACAUCAGUCCCUUGCAACUUGAUCAGUUCGUCGAUGAUACCUCAGGCACAUUGCGAUCAAUUCUUGACUCAGUUGCUCCACUUAGACAGAAAACUCUUACUCUCUUACUCUUUCCCUUUUACAUGCUUCCUCUGGGUAAAAUUACGAGGAAGUACUCGAUUAAUUUCUACUGCUAUGCAGAUGACACCCAGUUAUACUUAUCCAUGAAGCCAGAAGAAGCAAACCAGGUUACCAAAUUAGAAGCUUGUCUCAAAGAUAUAAAAUCCUGGAUGACCAAUAACUUUCAGACAAAACUGAAGUUCUUGUCCUCGGUCCUAAACACCUUAGAGAGGCAUUUUCUAAUAAUAAAGCUACGCUAGAUGGCAUCAGUCUGGCAUCCAGCCCCACUGUGCGAAAUCUAGGAGUUUUAUUUGAUCAGGAUUUGUCCUUUAGCUCCCACAUCCAACAAAUCGGUAGGAUAGCUUUUUUCCACCUGCGCAAUAUCUCAAAAAUUAGACCCAUCCUGUCUCAGAGUGAUGCAGAAAAACUAGUCCAUGCCUUUGUUACCUCUAGGCUGGAUUACUGUAAUUCUCUCUUAUCAGGCUGCUCCAGUGAGUCUUUAAGGACUCUUUAGCUGGUCUAAAAUGCAGCAGCUCGGGUAUUGACUAGAACCAGAAGAAAGGAGCACAUCUCUCCUGUCUUAGCCUCUCUUCAUUGGCUCCGUAUUAAAUCUAGAAUUGAGUUUAAAAUCCUCCUUACGACAUAUAAAGCGCUUAAUGGCCAGGCUCCAUCAUAUCUCAACGAGCUUGUUAUACCUUACUUUCCGUCUCAACCGUUACGCUCACAGUCUGCAGGCCUGCUUGUUGUAUCUAAAAGUAGUAUUGGAGGAAGAGCUUUCAGCUACCAGGCACCUCUCCUCUGGAAUCAUUUACUGCUCGAGGUUUGGGGGGCAGACACCCUCUCAACUUUCAAGAGUAGACUUAAAACAUUUUUCUUUGAUAAAGCUUAUAGUUGGGGCUGAUUUGAACCAGCUCUUAGUUAUGCUGCUAUAGGUUUAGACUGCCGGGGUUAUCUGGCACACUGAGCUAGAGUCUGUCUCUAUCGCUCCUUUCGAUCUUUAUGUCCCAUAUAAGUCACUAACCAGAUUUCUCUCUCUCUGAGUGUCUCUGAGUCUCUUAGCUUCCACUGGACUAAUGCUGCAGACAGCCUGCUGCAGAACUGCCUGACCCCAGCUGCAUCGUCCUUGAUUGUUAACCUUAGGCCCUGAGCUCCUCCAUCUCUUAGGCUCCUCUGGACCAUUGCUGCAGACACGUACGUCAGCCUAACUGACAUCUAUAAAAUAAAACUUGAGUUUUAACUUUAAUUACCUUAAAUUGAUUUAGCAUAGUCCAUAAUUAGUUACUUCAUUAUCCUGUACAUUGAAGUCAUUUUCUCCCAUCAAAUUGCUAACCAGAUCUCUCUGUAUGUCUCUGAGCCCCCCAGUCUCCUAGGUUGCUCUGGACUGAUGGCUGCUGCAGACCUGCCUGACUCGAGCCGCAUCGUCUAUGAUUGUCUGCCUCAGGCCCUGAGCUCCUUCUUCUCUUGGAUUCCUCUGGACUGUUACUGCAGACAUAAACAUCAGCCUCACUGACAAUAACAUAAAACUAGAGUUGACUACUAUUAGGCCUGCUGACUGUAAUCACAUUUAAUUAAUUUAACAUUGUCCAUAAUUACUUAUAUCCUAACCCUGUAAACUGAAUUCAUUUUGUUUCACCAUUACAUGAGCUGUUGUUGUUGUUGCUGUUGUUUCUGCUGUCCCCUGUCUCUCUCUUACCAUCGUUCUCUACUCUCUCUCCCUCCCCCUCCCUCUCUCGCCCUUACUCAUUCUCUCUCUCCUUCCCCUUAUCUUGUUCUUUUUCUCUCCCCCUGCCCUCUCCCCUCUUCUCUCUCUCUUUCUCCUCUCUCUCCCUCCAUCUCUCUACAUUCCUCCCCAACCCAGCAGCGGCAUGGUGGCUGUUUGGCAUGAGUUGGGUCCUGUCCAAGGUUUCUGCCUGUUAAAAGGAAGUUUUUCCUUGCCACUGCUACUCAUGUUAGAUGAGAUGGGCCAAAACCCAUCUUAGGUUGGUUCCUGAUCAUCAAACAAUGAGCGUGGUCUAGACCUGCUUCUGUUCUUUGAAAAGCAUCUUGAGAUGACGACUGUUGUGAAUUGGUGCUAUAUAAAUAAAAUUUAAUUGAUUUGAUUGAUUGAUUGAUUGAUUGAUUGAUUGAUUGAUUGAUUAUUCUCCAGUGCAGAGUCUUUACUUUUAUUUAUACAGCCGCUUUAUUUAAUUUAAGUUUGUUUGUUCAAGGUAUUUAAUAAUGUGUUGAAAGUUUGGACAAAUAAAAGAUAGUUAUCUUGAAAGCCACACGUGUAACGGGGGCCCUUCUCAAAAUGGCCCUCAGGAUUUCAGAGGCGUGGUUCAGACAGGGUUCAGGUCUUAAUGGGUUAAUAGGGGAGCAGAUUUCUUAUGAUGAGAUUAUUGAUGAUUUUGCAUCAAGGAAGGCAGGAAAGGUCAGGUUUUAGUUUUAGUUUGUGUUUCCUGUGAUAGAACAAUCACAUUUUCUUGAGUGUGUUUCUUGAGUGUGUCAAAUUUGUGUGAUUUGCUAUGUAAGAUGAUUAGUCCAUAUUUUAUUUAAUAUUUUAUAUUAUUCUUCUCUUCUCAUACUGUCUUGUUACAUUUGUUGUUAAAUAUUUGCCACUCUUAUGUAUAUAGUGUAUAUUUAUUAUUUAAGCUCUGAUAACCUGUUUUGUGCAGAAUUGCUCCAUUGUCUUUUGCAAUGUUGGAGGUGGAGAAUAUGCAUCUUAAAAAGUGUCUUUGCUGAUGUAAUAACUGGAUUUUCUGGAAGUGUUCUGUAAAUGCUCUAUUGAAGGAUUUGUGCAAUUGAGAAAUCGGGGAGUAAUUUAGUCUAGAACCACCACUGUCUCCAUGCACAAGCCUCAACCAAAAAGCCACUCUAUAGCCACAAAAAAUGCUCAGAACUGUUUUUUAGGUGGUUGAGUUAAAUUUCUGGUUUAUUUUUCAAAACCACAUCCAUGUCUUGGGUAACAUGGAUUUGAUUGUAACCCAAUUUGAGGGUUAUUUGAAUGGGUUAAUAAAUAUGGUUUAUUUUUCUGAGAGUAACCCAAUCAUUUAUAUAUAUAUACUGUAUAUAUUUGGGUAGCUGCCCCAGUAUGUCUUGGGCUGCUGGGUAGCUUAGCGGGUAGAGUAUCCAAUUCCCAACUUGGGGGUUGGGGUCCAAACCACAGACUAUACAGUAUAUCCUACAGUCAGCAAGGAAGCAGACUCUGUCCAUUCUUUAUUCAGUCUAUGGUCCAAACCCGCAUGAGACACAUCUGUAAGAAGCAAAGUAAAUCUACCCGUGUGGGCCCUUAAGCAAGACCCUUAGGGCUAUGGCCUACCUCAUAAACAUGAGUGUGUACCUUUGAAAGCCACACCGGCUCAGAUGGUACAGGUUGUGAAAGCAAAUCUCCCCAAAUGCAUAUAUCAAUUUAACCCAAGAUCAUGAGUCAAAUUAACUUGAAGAUUGGGUUAACUUGACCCUGAAAAGAGUUACUGAGUCAACCCAAAAUUUGGGUUAACUUGAAUAACCCAACAUUCUGGGUCAAAAUAACCCAAUAAGUAGUCGGUCCCUUUUCAAUCCUGGUGCACUCUUAUAACCCAGGGGUUAUAAGAGUGUAUAGGGCCCCAGCCAUAGCACUAGCAAUCAAAUGUCUGUUUUGUGUGUGUGUGUGUGUGUGUGUGUGUGUGUGUGUGUGUGUGUGUGUGUGUGUGUGUGUGUGUGAGAAGGGGGGGGGGGGGGGGGGGUUGAAGGUGUCUCCAAGAUGAAUUUAAUAGUAUACACAGGAACCAUCGACCUGUGUGUACAACUCUACAGUCUCAACUGAUCUCAGCGAGUGACCAAGAUGGAAUGGGAAACAGAUUAUUGACAGUUCUUGCAAUUUUGCCUUAGCAUUUUAGGCAUCACAAACAAACAUGUUAAAAAUGACAGAGCACACAUGACAGCGAAUUUUGCUUAAUAUGAUUUUGAGCUCUUGAGGUCUUAAAUACAAUGGUGUGAAAACUUCAGCCCACUUUACGUCUUGUGUUUUCUCUUUUUGAUUACUGUUAUAAGCUUCACCUACACUCCUUCUCACUGUGUACAUAUCAGUUUGUUUACAGUCUCUGUCCCAAUCUUUAAAUCCACCCUCACAGACUCACUGAAUUUGAUAGUCCAUGAGGGUUAACUCGUAUAGUAUAUGAGGAGGAGUCUCUGGCAGACUUUUUAAGCCCUUUAUGCUAGGGUGGCCAAAAGUCCUGUUUUCCCAGGACAUGUCCUGUUUUCACAUCCUGUCCUGUUUUUUUGGUUUUUUUUGUUUGUUUGUUUGUUUGUUUUUAUAAAGUGAUGAAAAUGUCUUGGUUUUCAUUGUUUUCUAUUGGGCCACGAGAAUGAAGAAAAAACAAAAAAACUAAGGAUAUAGAAUUCUUUUGUUAGUUAGUUUUUGUAAGUUUGUGAAAGCUAUUUUUGUUAAAUUUGGAUUGAGUAUUUUUUUAUUAUUAUUUAUCAUUCUUUUUUUUUCUAUUAAUACAGAAGAAACAUCAUUAAAAACAUAUCGAAUUUCCCCUUGAGGAUAAAUUAAGAUCUUAUAUUAUCUCCUAUCAUUAUUUCAUUUUUUUUCCUUUUAACUUAACUAUACCAACCUUUUUUAUAAUUUUCAUUUUUAUUCAUUUUUCAAAAGGCAUGGUACAUGGCAUAUAUUUCACAAGUUGUUGUUUCCAGAUCACAGAAACAUCAACACAUUUGUAAUACGAUGCGAUACAAAGGUAGACUCCAGUAUUCGAGUCCCAUAAAAUAAAAUAAAUAGUUGCUUACAUCCAGAAAAGAAAAAAAAAAGAGUCUAGUGGAAAGAGAGUUUUGUCACAUCAUAGAACACAAAAAUAUUAUGGGAUCACACAGUCAUUUGUUAUUUUUGAAACUUGUCAUAAUAAAACUUGUUGAGUAACCUCUAAGAAGUCUAUCCGAAUUCAUGUCUUUGGUUAUAGCUAGUAUUUGGUCAUAUCCAUACAGAGGAGGCAUACUUGUAUUUAAAUGUAUGUAGACAUGUAUUUAAAAUUAUAAGGCAUCUUUGAGUAAACUAUGAAUAUCAUUUGAGUAUCUCAUUGUCGAUAAAUUUGUCCUGGUUUUUGGUAAUCAAAAUACACUCACCCUACUCUAUGCACCCCUUCCACACGUGGGCAUCUCUGCUGACUUUGCAUGAGGAAAUUAACCUUAGUUAAUAGCAAAGUGAUGUGGCCACAGGAUUAUCGGGAGGAAGCCGGUGAACGCAAAAGAAAUGCCAUAACACAGGAAUGAUUAAAAAAGAGUUCGUUACUAUAAAUAAGAAAAUUAGCAAAGAUUCAGGAGUAAACCUGGGUCUGGGGUGGAGGGUGCACAAAAGUUAAGUUUGUUAAGUAGAACUUGAAUGCAUCACAUUUAGCCUGAGAGCCACUCACUGCAGAGGAUUGUUUACCUCAGACUUUCAGCUUCACAAAAACAGCUGGAGACCUUGACAUUAAAUUUGUGUGAUUUUGACUUAAGUGCUUCUUGUCUGCUCAGCACAAAGAAGUACACUUAACUCUGUUGAAUUUACAGCACUUUUGUUGAAAGUUGUGCACUCAGUUAGACCUGCAAACAAAAUACAGCUUUAUGAGGAAAGAUCUUCAUAAGGAAAAAAUAGAUUCAAAUUGAUUUUUGACUUAAUUAUAAGAUGUUGUUACCAUACAAUCCUUUUAUCAGUUUUUAGAUAUUUCCUUUUCAGUGGGUUGCUCCUUGUCAAAUGAGACCCUACUGAAAGUAAAGACAAGCCUUAAAGCACAAACCUUGAAGACAGAAGAGCCGAAAAACAGUUAGGCAAGAUGUUCAGAUAUUGUAAAAAUUUUUAUCUCCUAAAUUCUGCUACUGAGCCAUACCACAUAUGGUAUAAUCUGCAAACAGUCUAAUCUUUUUUUUUAAGAGUCAAUGAAUUAGCUUAACCUUGUUUCCAUUAUGCAGUCUCUAUGGUGUCCUGUGCUGCAGGAUGCUGAGACAUUAUUGUCUCUGAAAGUAAAAAAGUGUUAGGUAAUAAUUAGAUACAGGUAACAGAUUUAACAGAGAUCCCUUAAAUAUACUUCUGAAAUUUGACUGAACUUAUACAUCUCUUUCAUAUUAAGACAAAUUUGUGAUUAAAAAAAUCUCUAAAUUAUUUAAAAUCAAAUUGAAUUAAAUAAAUCACAUCACAUGUAAAAAUCCAGUAGAACCUAGAUCUUGUGAGUCAGAUUGAUUCAGAUAAUCAGUCUCAGUCAUACGGAUGUGUUAGUGCUUUCAUGUCACUGGAUUUUUUCUAAUACUGGCUCAAGAGAUUCCUAACAUAAAAAGUGACACCACACUACAGUUGCAGGUUUCAAAGAGUUGGGAUUUCUAUGAAACUCAAAAGAGCAGGGGUAAAAAUCAAACAAAUCCAAACUCAAAGAACUAAAAAGGGACGCAGGUGCUGGCCAAACAGAACAAAAGAGGAACUUGGACAGCACCAGCUCACAUAGGACCCCAACCUUAUUCUACUUAACUACCUAAAGAAAGAAACUAAACCUAGGUAAAAGGAACAAAAACUGAAACAAGGACUACAAGCCACCUGCAACUCUUAAAUAACACAAUAAAUCCUACCAGGUUCAUAUAAAUAUAGGAACCGAAGAAAGAAAAAGAAACUUCAAAGGGUAGGGAGAUGGAUUAUAAUUAUGUCUAUAAUAGGAUGAUCUGACCAGGAUAACAGCCAUAUUGCACAUACACCAGCAGCCAAUUUCACAUUGACUCUUUAUUUUGUCUAUGGGGAUAACUAACUAAUUUGAAGGACUAGCUGGUAACAAAUUUACCACAUACAUAAAGCAGCCAUAAAGUUUGUUUGUGUGCAGGAAGGUGUGUGCCAAGGUACUGAUAAAGGUCAUGAACUUUCACUUCGGCUGUGACCCUAGGUCAUAUCUGAGCUCCUGCAGAGGUUGGGGUGCUGGUCAUGACCUGCAGCUUUAAUUAUUAGUGAAGAGCAGAUUUAUUUCAGCUUUGAGCACAAAACUAAUAUAAAUGUCAAUAUAUACUUUGUAAACCUAACUUCAAAAGUUACCAAAGUGUAAUGAAAAUGUCAAAAUACAUUUAGUUUGGACAGUCAUGGUCGCUUUUAACCCCUAUGGCUUCAUUUUCAGAGAGGCUAUUAUUAUUGACCUGCAACUUUGUAAUCUCUAGAAGCUGUGGUUUUUUAUCCUGAAUAUAUUUUUUAAUUUUGUUUUCAAAGUAACACAUUUAUCAUAUAGGUUGUCUACAGACCAACCAUGCAAGGCUGCUAGUAAAAAGCUUGGGUGACCUCUGGUGGUCAUAGUACAACAGUGCAGCUUCAAAGUCCUCUCUGGCUGAAAGAGUUUACUUUCAGGUCUGGAUUUGAAUUUCCUGGAAUUCCUCCUCUAAUGAGGAAUGAGGAAACAUCUUUUUGCAAGUGUAAAAAGUUUUAGACAACAACAGGCUUCAAACUUUUCAGUUUAGUUAAAAAUGACGCUGGAUCCCUCGAUGUAGAUUAUCCCUUAAUACCCAGGUCUUGGGGGUCCUGCAGUCUAAAAACUGACUCUUUAUUGUUAGACCUUUCCCUUCUAGUCCAGAUUAACAAAAGGUCAUUGUUGUGCACUUUACCCCACUAUGAGUGAGGGCAACUUUUUUUAAGCUGUAGCUAAAAAAUGAUGCUGCAUGGCUUUUGACUCGUUCAAACAGAAGUGAGUAAACAAUACCUGACUUUCACUGGUCAGAAAUUAGUUAGAGUUUAAUGUUUUUACAACCCAGCUUAGCAAGGGGAAAGAGAAGCAACAUAAAACCAGUUUGUUUGUGGUAUUAAGUGUUAUUUAUCACAGAGAAGUAAGACUGAACCAUAAAAGAAAAAGAGUGAGAUAGGGUGCUGUUAGAAUCAACAAAUAAGGAAAACCAAAAUAACCUCUAACCGAGAGUCCACAUCUUUCUAAAACAAAAACCGAAAUAAAACCCUGCAAACUCAUGUCUAACAAAAAUUAAAAACUAACAGCACCCCUAACAUAGUGAGCAUAACAAAAAAUAAUCCUUCAAGUGAAUGUGCAAGUCUCAGUUUUAAACCUGGCCCAUUAAAGACAAGUGCCUCACAGAGAAACAACACGAGUGGAGACACAGCUACAAUUAAGAAAAGCGAAUGAAUGAAAAAUCUCUCCACAGUCCAGCUUCUUAAUACUGUGCACUUCUCCUUGAUUGGUCAGGACUUCUGCUCUGCAUAAAUCAGCUGUGUGCUCUCAAGACUGGUCACCUAGAGGAUGCACCAAUCACUCAACUGCCCUCACACAUUCAUGGCAUACACUCACAUGGAGGGGGAUGUGGCUGCAGCCGCAACAAAUGUUUUUGAAGCCAUGGUCCUGUUAUUUGUGAACUUUCAACCUAGCAAGGUAACCUUGGAGCUACCUCACUCAACUUAGCGCGGUAGCCAGGCAUUUUGCUAAACGGUCCUACGAUGCUGGUUAUCAACCUCAUAAGUGGAUCCAGCUUUGCUAUGAGCGCGUGCACGCAUGUAAGCAUCUGACCAAUCGUGAACAUGGACCAGCCUGGAGCGUCACAGCAGGCUGGAGAGCGAAGGACUGCGGACUUUACAAACAAGGAGCAGGAGACGAUCAUGAGAAAGUACUUAGAAUUCAAAUCUAUCAUAAACCUCAAAAGCGUCGCUGCUGCAAAAGCACGGGAGGAAUGCUAGCAGAAGACUGCCGACAGUCUCAAUGUUUAAGUAUAGUGCACAAAACAUCUUUGAUGCCAUUAUCACCCUAAAAUAGCACUGUUCAACAUGCACUUUUAACAUACACCAGACAUGUCUAAUUCAUUUCCAAAAUGAAUUCAUUCAUUUGUUCAUUCCUAUCGUGUUUACAUUUUUUGUGUGAUAUGUAGGCCAUAUGAGCCUUUCAUAAAGGUGGUCAUCCAGAAAAGUAAGUGGGUCUGUGCAGUCCCUGAAAACCCUCGCACGCCAGAGUGCUCCUCGGACAAUGGGAGCACAGAGGUCUACAGGAUCCGCCAAGAACGAACAAGCCAUUUUUCAAGAGAGCUCAUUGGGGUUUUUAUACUUGGUGAGUUCAAUCUGGAACCUAACCUGCCCCGGAGCAGGUUAGCUGCUCAGCAUAUGUUGCCAUGGAGACUCACCUCGCUAAGAAGUUAACCUGUGUCGUAGAACAGGAAACCCCGAACUCGAAGUUACCUCGCUAAGCAGUAAUCCUGCUUCGUAGAAUAGGCCCCUGUUGUGCACCUGAUCACUUUUUAUUUGUCUCUGGGUCUCAAAUAUUAAUAUCUUUAAUGCACACAAAAGCACACGAAAAAUGACUAAUUUAUCUGUAGUGUCUUGUUUGAUAUUUACAGGAAGAAGAGCGUUAUGUUUGAUGGAGAGUUCGCUCUGACCUGGGAGAAUACUGUUAGUGUGUCACCUGAACCCAGAGGUGUCUAGUUUGUGCCUGUCAUGUGUCAGAACUUUAACAUGUUUGUUGUUAAGUCUAGCUGUUAUCCACCACUGUCAAUGACGAUGAAGAGAUUCGUCCAUCAGUCUUACUCCUUUGUUUUGUCUUCGUGUUGCAAAAAAUUGUUUAUUCUUUGCAACAUAAUUUGCUUAUUCCAGGAUGUCGCAAAGGCUUCAUCUUGGACCCUCAGGGAGUUUUUAACUACCAAUGUCAUGAGCCAGAGUUGAACCAAAAGGAAGAAGGACCCAAAAAUGUAGACUCAAUAAAAGAUUUAUUAAAUGAAAGAAUAAACUUGAAACAACAAAAACUUUCUUCAAAAUGUCCAACUAAAAAAUCCAAGGGCAAAAUCCAACAAGACUCUGGGGAAAAAAAAUACAAGGAGACAAAGGAUUCACACAUAGAGGAUCAUGGUGAACUGGCAGACAUACACACACAAUGAACCAACAAAGAAACAGGGGAAAACAGGGGCUGUUCUCAAAUUUGUCUACUGCAUACUCCUGCUGACCGCAGUAUGCAGUACACACUGCGUACUGAGUACUGUGUUCGAUAAAAGUAUGCAGUAUGACUGCAAGUUGGCUGUUAUUAUGUAGCAUGCUCUGCUCAGUUCAGCUGGUUUCGGGAAUGAAAAGGUACGUCGUACCCUGGUUAAUUGCAAUGACACUGCAGUGUUGCCCAUUCAUUAACGCACUGGAAAAAAUCUUUUAUGUGUUUUGAUUUGAUUUUUUCAGGAUUUUUUAGCCCAAUACCAGCCAUCAAAAUGUGUUCUGUCUAUGCAAUGAGUCAUCGAUCUGGCGGCAUUUGAUUCUCAUCAUGGCGCUGUAAAUAUAGCAAAGUUAUGUUGUCAGUUAUGUUGUCCUCAUUUUCUUCUUAAAUGAAGGAAGUUGCAAUCCUCGCUAAACAUGUUAACUGAUGGCGUCUACCAUAGUUUGACAACUGCAGUGAAAACCCUGUCAUACAAACUCCUGUCUCCUGUCAAUUUAUUUCAAAUACUGUCUUGGCUGCUGAUUGAGUCAGACUGCUUUAAUGUUUACUCACCUUUCUGCAUUAAAGCUUUGGACAUUGUGCAUACCGUACAGUAUAAAAAAUGAGAAGACAGGAAAAUUUCAGGCGAAGAAAAUAGGACAAAAACUGUACGGUAUGAUAACAAAACAGUGAAUUCUUGUCAGUGGUUUGCACACAUAAUGCUGAAAGAAAGAGGAGAAGACAGGCUGUCAGAAGGAGAAAUCUUGGCUGUCCACUUAAAAAAUGAAUUGACUUGACUCACUUGACUUAAGCCCUUUGCUCCUCAGAGGUUGGAAAAUGUUCUCCAUUUCAUUCUGUCUUUAGCGGUUCUUUUGAGAUCUCCCCAGUUAAGCCCGCUCUCUGACAUCUCUGUCGCAACGCUUCUUCUUCAGCUGUUCCUGGGGCAACCUCGUUUCCCUUUUCCUUGGGGGUUCCAUUUCAGGGCUUGUCAGGUGAUGUUUAUUGCAGGUUUUCUGAGGGUGUGGCCUAUCCAGCUCCACUUUCGCUUUCGUAUUUUUCAAGUCAAUGGGCUCUUGACUUGUUCUUUUCCACAGGUCCACAUUACUUACUUUUUUCGCCACCAGAUGUGUAAGAUUUUCCUUAGGCAGGUGUUGGUGAAUGUUUGCAGCCUGUGUGUUGUGUGUUUUGUUGUCCUCCGGAGGUCUGUUUCACGUAGCAGAUUUAAUGGAAACUCAGAGUCUGGCAAUCCUGAAAUCAGGGAAACUCUGAGUUUUCCAUUUCACAAAGGAGGGUCAGUUAAAUCAGAGAGAGAGGGGUAACUCUAACCUGUUUCACAAAGAGAGGUAACUCAACAUCGUGGUGAGUUACCAUUGUAACAGACUCCGUGAACCUAACCUGGGGCCUGUUCUACGAAGCAAGUUCAACCAAGCGAGGUAGCCUUGGAGCUACCUCGCUCAGCUUAGUGCAGUAGCCAGCGGUCUCGCUACACGGUUUUACGACGCUGGUUAUCAACCUCGUAAGUUGAUCCAGCUUUGCCAUGAGCGCGUGCACGCAUGUAAGGCGGAGCCCGCCGCAUCUGACCAAUCGCGAACAUCGACAAGUCUGGAGCGUCAGAGCAGGCAGGAGAGCGAAGGACCGCAGACUUUACAAACGAGGAGCAGGAAGGAGACGAUCAUGAGAAAGUAUGAAGAAUUCAAAGCAAUCACAAACCUCAAAAGCAACACCGUCGCCGCUACAAAAGCACGGAAGGCAGAAAAUUUAUCUUUGAUGCCAUUAUCACCCUGAAAUAGCACUGCGAUCAUCGAACGGGUGUGGGGGGCUCCUUUAACGGAGGCUCCUCUGCCUCCAUUAAAGGUGGGGCUGCUGGGCCACCACCCGUUUUUCUGGCAUCUGCCCUCUUUCUGUUUGCUGAGUGAAAGUCUAAUAUUGAGUGUACUGUGUGUUAGUUUAAUAUAUAUACAUACACAUACUGAGAGUUAGUUUAAUAUUCCUAAUCAUUUAACAGAACAUCAUAAGAGAGUAAAAUUCAUUUUUGAGUGUGAAAAGAGCAUUUUGUAAGGGAUCAAACUGCCACUUAAUACUUACUUGACAAUGUAAAACAUGAUCAAAAUGAGAAAAUGCAGAUGUCUCACCUGUUUGCACAAUGUUUUUAUAUUUCAUUUUCAGCUGCUGCCAAGUGCACUUUUGUCCCGCUGGAUUGCACCUACAUAAAAUAAAUUAAUUGGCUCCAUGCAAGCAGUUUGCCCUGCAACAAUCUGUCAUUGUGAUUGCACAAGACUAGAUUUAAACUUACGCAUUGACGCGAGCAGCAAUUAUAUUGCACUUUCUUUUAAAAACGUGCUGUAAUUUGCCGUUGGCUUGCAUCAGUACUUCCAGCUCCACUUGCAUAAAAAAUGCUGCCCUCCUUCUCCCUGUUUCCAUUGGUUGAUCAAUGAAUCUGGGCUCCACAGAUGCUGGCUGUUUAUGUCUGGCGUGCACGUGCUUAACUCCAGGUCAAACUACUCAGAGUUGCUAAAACUGACUCAAAUCAGGUGUUGUGAAACCAGAAACUCAGAGUUUCCUAUCUCAGAGUAGAUCAACUCAGAGUUAAGGAUUUGACUCAGAGUUUGUUGAACCACCUACGUGAAACGGACCCCAGGUCUCCAAUCCAUACAACAUCGCCUGCUUCACACUGGAGUUGAAGAUGUGCAUUUCGGUGUUUAUGGAGAUGUUCUUUGAGCUCCAUAUCUUCCUGAGCAUGUUAAACACAACUCUAGCUUUGUUAAUUCUGCUCUUUAUGUCAGCAUCUGUCCCUCCAGUGGUGUCCACAAUGCUGCCUAGGUAAGUAAAAGCUUCUAUUUCCUCUAAGGCAGUGUUGUUCAUCAGGAUAGGGUUGAUGGUUUUGGCGUGGAUCUUGAUCACCUGUGUCUUUGCUGUAUUGGGAGUGAACACAAGUUUUAUUGCAGUUUGUGAGAGUCUGUCUGUCUUCUCUUGCAUUUGUGUUUGUGUGUGUGAAAGGAGUACUGUGUCAUCCGCUAAAACAAGAUCAACCAGCUGCUCCCACAUUGUCCACUGAAUUCCAUUUCUCCUCCCCACAAUUGUUUCCUUCAUGGCCCAAUCGACUGCUAGGUGGAACAGGAAUGGUGAAAGUAGACAUCCUUUUGACCUCAAAGCUUUGGGAGAGCUGGUCUGCAUGCAUGACUUUGCAUGAGGUUCUGUUGUAUGAGUUCCUAAUUAGUUUAAUGAUCUUAGUGGGGAUUCCAUAAUGCUCCAUUAGCUGCCAUAGUGUUUCCCGGUCUAAACUGUCAAAAGCUUUCUCAAAGUCAAUGAAGUUGAUGUACAAGGACGUAUUCCAUUCAAUAGACUGUUCGAUGAUGAUGAGUAGUGUUGCAAUGUGGUCUGUGCAUGAGCGGUCUUUCCUGAAACCUGCUUGCUGGUCCCAGAGCCUCUUAUCCACAGCUUCCUGGAGACGGUUGAGAAUGACCCGAUUGAAAAUCUUACUGGGCACAGAAAGUAAGGUGAUCCCCCGGAAGUUGUUGCAUUUCCUUAGGUCACCUUUCUUUGGCAGUUUAACUAUGUGUCCCUCUGCCAAUUCUGUGGGUGUCUUUUCCUAUUCCCAAAUUUACCUAAAUAGGCUAUAGAGCAUAUCUGUGGAUGUGUUUAUGUCCACUUUAAGGGCUUCUGAUGGAAUAUUGUCAGGGCCGGCAGCCUUGCCGGUUUUCUGUUGCUUGAUUGCAGCUUUUAUUUUGGUUUUUGUUGGUCUGUCACACUUGAUUCUUAAUGGUAUUCUGGCCUGAGGAAUAUAAGGCUGUUCUUCUGGUGGUGGCCUAUUCAGAACCUCCUUGAAGUGCUCUACCCAUCUUUCAAGCUGUUCUUCAGGGGUUGAAAGCAAUUGGCCGUUCUUGUCUGUGAUGGGUUUGUUGUUGUGUCGAUACAUCCCAGACAGCUUCCUUGUGAUGUUAUACAAUUCCUUCAUGUUUCUUUGAGAAGCUGCAAGUUCUGCCUCCUUAGCUAACCUCUCUACCUGAGUUCUCUUGUCCCUCCUGAUGUUCUGCCGCACCUCUUUAUGGUACCUGUUGUACUCCUUUUGUGCCAUGGCUCUUCUGCUCUUGUUCAUAUGUUGUUCAUUUUUUUCUCUCCUCUUUUGAAUUAUGUUGAGGGUUUCUGGUGUUAUCCGGUCCUUGUGUUUUUGUGAUCUUCUCCCUAAGGCCCCCUCACAUGUUGAGUUCCAAGCAUCUUUUAAGUGCUUCCAUUCCUCAUCUAUUGUCCAUUCUGCCAUCUCUCUUGACUGUAGCUCUGUGUUUUUCUCUAUGAGUAGAUCCUUAAACUGCUUCACCACUUGAGUAUCACUGAGAUAUUUGGUGUUGUAUUUCGCUCUUUGACCUUUGGCCCAGUGGUGUCUUUUCAACCUUAGCUUGAAUUUCCCUACCACGAGAUGGUGAUCUGAGGCUGCAUCUGCCCCUCUUCUUGUCUUAACGUCCUCCAUGGCUCUUCUGAACUUUUUGCUGAUACAGAUGUGGUCAAUUUGAUUUUCUGUGACAUGAUCUAGUGACAUCCAAGUUGUUUUGUGGAUUGUUUUAUGGGGGAAUACACUACCUCCAAUCACUAGAUUAUUGUUGACACAGGUCUCUGCAAACAUCUUGCCAUUCUUAUUCAUUGUCCCCACGCCAUGUUUACCCAUCACUGCCUCAUAUCCCUCAUUUUGGCCUCCAAUCUUUGCGUUAAAGUCCCCCAUCAGGAUAAUGAGGUCUCUGGCUCCUAUACUAUUUAGUAGGUGGUUUAAACUGUCGUAAAACCUAGCCUUGACCUCAUCAUCUGCAUCAUUGGUAGGUGCAUAACACUGGAUUAUGUGGGCUUUCACUCUUCUGUUGUUGGUGUUGAAGGUUGCAGAGAUGAAGCGAGAAUUGAUGGGUUUCCAUGCAGUUAGAGAAUUUCUAGAGUUCUUUGUCAUCAUGAUGGCCACUCCCUCUGUAUGAAUCGCUCCCUCCUCUUCAUGUCCAUAAAAGAUGAUGGACUGCCCGCUGGCCAAUGUGACCUCUCCCGACUGUGUCAAUCUUGUUUCUGCCAGCCCCAGGACUGAGAGAUUGUAGCGCUCAAUUUCUUUGGCAACAGUUGCAGCCUUGCCAGCUUGGAACAUGGUCCUGAUGUUCCAUGUCCCCAUAGGAGUAGAUUUUCUUGGCAUCAGAAAGUGGGUUGGCCCAACGCCCUUGCGGGUUUGGCUGGGACGGGUCAUAGUCCCGAGUGCUGGGGCAUCUUCCUCGACCAGGAGCAUGAUACGGUUUUUAUUUGUCAGCGUUUCUGUAACUUGGAAUUUUUUUUACAGGAUGGGGACGUUACCCCCCACUCCCAACCCCCACCCUGGAGGACCAGGGACUGCUGUGUCUGCCUCCUCACCCUUGACCUGUCCGGCUUGGUUGAACCUACCGGGGGUAUAAACCCCCACCGGCAUAGCUCUCGGGUUCCCUGGAGUACGCAAGCCUCUCCACCACGACAAGGUGCAGUCCAGGGGCCUCAUGUAUCAAUACUUGCGUGGAACUCAUACCAGAAACGAGCGCACGCAAGGUCCGUCACGCUGAAAAAAAUCCGUAUGUAUCAAUGUGUGCGGGCGCCGAAAUCCACGUGUGUUUCCUUGAUAAAUCCCAAUCAGCGUGGAAUUGAGCGCAGAUGUCGGAGUGACUGGGCCCGUCCCCGUUACGCCCUCCUAUAAAUAUGCAGAUUUGUUUAAAUAGGGUCUCCCUGUCCUCGCACGCAGACAAAAUGACAAGAAAAACUAAAUUAACGGCGUGCAAGGUGGAGGUUCUGGUGGCGGAGGUGGAGGAGCGACAGUGUGUUUUGUUUGGCAGCCUGUCCAGUGGCGUCAGUGCAAAACGUAAACGCUUGGAGUGGGAGAAAGUUUGCGAGAGGGUGAAUGCGGUGGGUUCCGAGACACGCACCCCUGCGAAGAUUAAAAAAAAGUGGUCGGACCUCAAGGUGGAGGUCAAGCGGCGUACAGCUGCCCUCCAGAGGAGUACUGGCCAGACAGGUGGGGGUCCGGGGGAGGAGACCCUCACACCAUUUGAGCAGCGAGUGGUGGCGAUUAUUAUUAUAGGGUAAGUGGCGUGUCACACAAAUGUCCACAUGCUUUGUCAUCCCACUGAGCAAAAGACGUAUAUUAGACGUCUAGUCUAAGUUUAUACUUCAUUUCAACGUCGGGAUUCAGUCUAUUUUUAGACGUGAUUUAUACUUCGCCCUUAACUUCAUUUUUCGAUAACUUUUUAUGCAAUAAACAACUGUAAUGUGCUUAACUGACCUCUAAAUACUGGAUUACAUUACCUAUGAUACCGUGGAGAGAGAUGUAAACGCAACAGAUACACAGAAGCAGGAAUUGAAAUGAACCAAUAUUUUUAUUGUGUCACAGAAAUCAAUGUGUCGGCCAUGUCGCCGGCUUGCAGAACCCCGGCCCGCGGCAGCCCGUCCGCCGGCUCGGAGUCGUCGGCCAGGACCAGCGGCAUUCGGGCCACCCCGGCCCCAGCACCAGCACCAGCACCAGCGCGCUGACAAGCGGUGGAGCGUCCACCAGCCGCGGCGUUUCCGCUGGACCACCCGGACGCAGUGGAAGGGUCCUCGCGGAGGGGGUCCUGCAAUCGCAGGAAGAAAUCAUCAGGGGGAUCACGGGGAUCAACGAGCGGCUGGACCGGCUCGUAAAUGUCCUCGAGUGUCUGGAGGAGAAAAUAAAUUAAUUUGGCUCAUUGAACAACUGUGUAUUCACUUCUUACCCAUUCACACUGUGGCGAUGAGAUUCUCCCGCGCGAGGACGGCGGCCCGGCAGGGAUCAGCUCACAUCCCUCUGUCUGCUGCUGGUUCGUCAUGUGGGGCGACGUGCUGCUCGGCCACGGGGAUGUGGUGCACGCUUGCCACAUAGUGAGUCACCAAACACCGCCACACAGCGUCGCCAAAGUGCAAAUCACAGUCAACGCAAGUUUUUGGCUCAAUGCCAAUUUCUACACCACCUCCUGACUUUGCGUUGAUUAGCGCUGGAACCGACGCUCGUUUCGCGAUGAUAAAUCUGGACGUGUGCGCCGAUUUUGGCGUACGCAAGGUUUUCUUGCGCCGCAAGCGUUGAUACAUGAGGCCCCAGGAGAGGUAAAAAAUGAAUGCUCGGGUGAAAAGUUUCGCUGCUCUCAGCUAUUCCACCAUCUGCCCAGGUGCUUUGCAUUGUUGGUAACAGUAAGCGAUUCAGACUGGUCUGAUGCAUACUGUGAAAAUUUCCCGAAUCAGUAGUUAUCCUGGAAUUUUUUACCUGGUGUAUACUGUGUGCUAAAUUUUGGGCAAAUCAGUAGGGGAGAGUGGGGUAAGUUGAGCCACCCCCUGUUCCUUGGAAAUGGUCAAAGAAAUUAAUCAUGUGACCAAAUAUUUAGGAGAUGGGCAUCAAUUCAUGGAGUCUGUGAAGGUUGGAAGCACAUGGAUGAAGGAGUUAGACAUUUAUUUCCAAAAAAAAUAUCAUUUUUCACUCUUGAAAGUGAAUGUAGUCUGUCAUAUGUUUUAGAAGAAUUGUGUUCCGACCGAAAAAGAUCAUUUUAAAUUUGUUAUAUACAUCAAUUGGUGUAUCUAUGAACUACAAUAUGAGGUCAAAAACCUAGCAUAAAAGUCCACCAUUUUAGCUUAGAGGACUAAUAAAGUCAAAAUAGUAAUUCUGGGGUAAGUUGAGCCUGAGAAACUAAAGGAGUAUGAUGAGAGGAUCAGAGUUUGAGUUCAGAUUGUUGAAAUGUGUUACUUUUUCUAUUCAAAAAUACAGCUGUGAAUGUUCUGAAUCACUUAAAGACAUUCUCAUGUUAAAAUCCUUUUUUUAUAAAACAGCUUUUUAGCAGUUAUAUGCAAUAAUAGACGGCAGUGCGCACAGUUGCAGCGGCCAGGAGCUCACGGAGCUGGCACUACUUAUUUAUUUUGGUGGCACUUAGUAUUAUUUCACAGUUUUCAAAUCUCGUUAAAAUACAGCCGAGAUGAUCUCCUUAUGCUCAACAACAGAGGGCCUCUACAGCUCCCGUCGGCUUUUACCAUGCAAGCCGAGAUCGCCAGAUCACCACCGAGGACUGCCGAAGCUGCGAGCCGGCGGAGGAAACAUGGCGAGCGGCUGCGGAAGAGAGGCAGACACGGGGGAACAUGGGCUAGGCUGCGGGCUAAUCCAUUCAAACCCUCGCUUCCCACCAUCUUCCUCGCGAAAGCACGUUUGAUCCAGAAUAAGAUGGAUGAAAUCCGACUGGAACUAGCAACCAAGAAACACAUCAGGAACUGCUGCAGCUUAAUCUUCACUGAGAGCUGGUUGGAUAACACCACUCCGUCGUCGGCUAUCGAGUUGGAUGGCUACACUGCUCACCGAGCCGACAGGACUGCUGACUCGAGUAAGAAGCUAAGCAGAGGAUUAUUGAUCCACAUCAAUGACUCUUGGUGUACUAACACCACGGUUAUUGAUAUAUACUGCUGUCCCGACAUGGAGUUUAUGCUGCUUAAAUGCAGACCCUUCCGUUUACCGCGAGAACUUUCCUCUGUUUACAUUUGUGCUGUUUACAUCCCCCCGGAUGCAAAUGCAAAGACAGCACUAGCUAUACUGUAGGACACCAUAAACAAUUGCCUGGCAGCACACCCAGACAGUGUCUUUAUCGCAGCGGGGGAUUAUGAUCAUGCUGAUUUAAAGUCUGUGCUUCACUCGUGCACCAUAAUGUGAAGUGCGCUACCAGAGGGAGCAACACAUUAGAUCAGGUCUACACCAACAUAGCUAAAGCCUAUAGAGCCCAGGCAUACCCCCACCUGGGUCUCUCUGAUCAUGUUUCGCUCCUACUGCACCCUCGUUAUACACCUAAAAUCAGAUCCAACAGGCCCGAAGUCAGGUCUGUCAGGACUUGGCCUGGGGAUUUCUAUUUCUAAGCUCCAGGACUACUUUGAUUCCACAGACUGGUACAUUUUCAGGGACCAAGGAGAGCUGACGCGUGGGUCACUGAAUAGUUUCGCAGACUCAGUCCUAUAUUAUAUCAACUUCUGUGUGGAUGCGGUCACACACUUAAAGCAGGUCCUUGUCUUUCCUAAUAACAAACCCUGGAUGACACCUAAAUUAAAAUCUCUGGUACGAGCCAGAAAUGUGGCGCUUAGAUCAGAGGACACUAAUGCUUACAGUGCAGCGAGGUCAGCCCUUAGGAAAAGGGGUCAGAACAGCCAAGCUGGCAUAUAGAGCCCAUAUUGAAGCCCACUUCCACAGCUCCUCAAGCCCCCGUCAGGUGUGGGAGGGGGUCAGGGCAUUAUCGGACUACAAGGGAAAAACAGCCCCCCCUGUCAAUGGCAGCACACCCCUAGCAGAGGAACUAAAUACAUUCUAUGCGCGCUUUGACAGGGACAACAAGGAGCCAGUGUCGCCCCCCCUCCCCUCUGACAGUACCACCAUAGUCCUGAGCACCCAUGAGGUCAGGCUUGGCUUAUGUGGCAUCAACCCCAGGAAAGCUGCGGGUCCGGAUGGAGUCCAGGGACGGGUGCUCAAGGACUGUGCAGCUGAGUUGCCCCUGUCCUCACUACCAUCUUUAACCUGUCUCUGGGCUCAUGCUGGGUCCCUGCAUGUCUCAAGGCAGCAACAAUCAUCCCGGUCCCCAAGAACCCGAAUGUCACAGGCCUGAAUGACUACAGGCCUGUGGCACUCACUCCUAUUGUUGCCAAAUGUUUUGAGAGACUGGUCAUCAAACACAUUAAAGCUGCUAUACCACCAUCACUGGACCCAAACCAGUUUGCCUACCGGAGGAACCAGUCAACAGAGGAUGCUAUCGCCCUCGUGUUACACUCUCUUCUGGAACACCUGGAGAAGAAGAACACAUACGGGAGACUGCUCUUCAUUGACUUCAGCUCUGCGUUUAACACCAUCCUGCCGAACAAACUCCACAGCAAAUUGCAUGAACAUGGACUGAACACCACAUUAUGCAACUGGAUCCUGGACUUCCUUACAAACCGCACUCAAUAUGUCAGAAUCGGCAAGCACAUCUCCCCCACCCUGCCCAUCAGCACUGGGGUCCCCCAGGGUUGUGUGCUUAGUCCACUACUUUUCACACUUUUCACCCAUGACUGUUAUUCAUUCUCCCCAUCUACCAUUAUAGUUAAAUUUGCAGACGACACAACAGUACUUGGCCUCACCAAGGACAAUGAAGAGACCUCAUACAGGAGGGAGGUGGACAGAUUGGUGGCAUGGUACCGCGAGCACAACCUGAUUCUGAAUGUCAUCAAGACCAAGGAAAUGAUCUUUGACUUCCGCAGGUCUGUGCGAAAGUACUCCCCACUCCUCAUCGACAUCAGGAGGUGGAGAGGGUCUCGUGCUUUAAGUUUCUGGGUGUGACUGUGGCUGACAACCUGUCCUGGAGCGCUAACAUCCAGUCUGCCCUUGGCAAGACACAGCAGUGUCUGUUCUUUCUGAGGAAGCUCAAAUGGGCAAACCUAUCACGGGAGCUGCUGACCAACUUUAACCACUGCGCGGUGGAGAGCGUGCUGACGUACGGACUACUGGUGUGGUUCUCCAGCUGCACCAGAGCGGAGAAGGAGGCCAUCGAGAGAGAUGUCUCAGCUGCGGGGAGGAUCAUCGUGACCAGCCUCCCGGAGAUCUCCUCGGUCUUCGACUGCCGCUGCCUACGCCGUGUCCAAAACAUCAUCCGGGACCAAUUCCACCCAGCACACCACAUUUCCGAUUGCUGCCCUCUGGUAGGAGAUACGACUGUUGGACAGCCUGUAUCCAACAGCUGUCAGGCUGCUGAAUGCCCAACCUGUCUCCCAUGCUCCCAACUCCUCCCAACAGAAACACUAGGCAAAAUACACAAAGAAAAUACUCUCAAAUAACAAAACCAGGAAAAAACUAAAUUUACAGACCACAUCAUGACAACCACCUGCAGUAACAUAAAAACUCCCCGCUCAUCCUGCUCCUAUGAGAUUUGCUUGGGUCCAGCAGGACCUGCAUCCUGAUGCAGUCCUCCUCUGGAGGAUUUUAGGUUUGCUGGGUCUGAAUUUUUUAAAUCAUCAUCGAACACUUUGAAUGAAAGGUGUCCUCCAAACCAGCUAGCUGUCGUUGUGUUUUUAUGUUUUAUGUUAUCUUUAAUUUUUUUUUAAUUGCUUUGUAUCACUGUUCUCCCUGAUUGUCUAUUUAUUUUUUAAAUGACUACCUGUAUGAUGCUAAGUGACUCUGGGCCUGAUCUGCUGAGAUCCCAAAUAACGAGCGCUUAACUGCAUGUGUAAACUAAAAGAUGCAUGUGCUAUUAGUGGGCAUGUUGCAGGUGAUUUACUAUGUUUGUGUGCACAAUUGAUAACAGGUGCAAAAAUUGUGUGGAUCGCCCUAUUGAAAUGAGGAUUUUGUUUUUGCUAUACCAGCUGUCACCAUGGAGAGUCUGAGAGAGCAGAGUGGCCAUAAAGAAAGUUUGAAGCCAUGGAGUUGGAGGUUGGGGGGGGGGGGGGGGGGGGCUGUGAAAAGGUUACAAAACUGGAAGAUCUGCUGAUUAAAUAAAAAAGAAGACGGCAAGAUAUCCACAGAGGAACAAAGGAAAACCUUAAAAACUUUCCUUCCUUAAAACCUCUGAUCAGGCCCUUUGUUUGGUCGAGGUCUAUGUUUGACACAGUUAUUAUUAUUAUUAUUAUUUUUACCUAGAAAAGGUGUCACAUCACUGGUAUUAGAGCCUCCAUACUCCAUUCACAAAAACAGAAAUCUGACCCCACAGUACGAGAGUCCCUGCUCUAACUACUACCUUUAUUUGUUUGUUUUUCUGUUGAUGGGUUUUCAUUUGUUGCUUGUCUAUUUUAUGGUGAGUUCAUACUGUGCUUGUGUUACACACAGUUUGUGCAUCAACAAUUUUUUUUCCCAGAAUAAAUGGAUAAAGAUGUUAAAUUCAAACCCCAGACUUUACAAAUGGGGGUCCAAAAGCUUAAAACAUUUUCUUAUUUUCAGUAUUAUCCAUCAGUGUCAUGUAAUCUGAGUAAAAGAGAGAUUUGACACAGCAGUUGACUGCACACACACACACACACACACACACACACACACACACACACGAACAAAACAGGAAACUCGCAGACACGUAUGAAGCUCAUCAGGCAGUGUGUUUAUUAACCACUAGAGAGCAGAGCUGUUCAUCUUAUACAUCACUUCAGUUUGGAUUUAAAACAUGAGAAAAAGCAGAAAUGGAUUCAGUUCAGAUCAUUGUGUUCACGCUGUUUUAUGCUGCACAGUCAAAAACAAAAUAUGAGAAAUGAGAGUUGUCGAGCUCGUUUACAUGCAAAUCUUUUUAAUAUAAAACACAUAAAACAGAGUGAAUGCACGAUUCAAAAGAAAAACAGAAAAGCUUUGUCAGUCCUCCAGUUUCCAGCAAUGAAUUAUUAGACCUUGUAUAAAGACUUUUACACGAGAUUAUGAAACAAGUUUACUAUAAGCAGCUUUUAAGGUUUAUCUAUUUUUAUUUAUUUAUUUAUUUUAACAUCAAAUACCUCCAGCCUAUGACACUGAUCCAAAACACACAGGAACAAGUUAAGGUCUAACAGUGUAAAAGAUAAAACAAACUUUAAAUAACAACAACAAAUACAAAUAAAAGUUACACCUCAAAUUCUCUAAAAGUUGAUGUUGAAUAUGAAUAUUGAAGCCUGCAUUCAAUAUAAAAAAAUAAAAAAAUAUUGUUUUAUGAAAAUGAUCUGCUCAUUUUUUAAAUUUGAAAAGUUUCGAUGUAGACAUCUUUAUUAUUGUUUUUUUUAAAUGAUGAUAUAUUAUUUUGUUGGUCCCCUAUUCAGCCAGAACAGUCCUGACCCAUUGAGGUGUGGACUCCACUAGACCUCCGAACAUGUGCUGUGGUAUCUGGCACCAAAAUGUUAGCAGCAGAUCCUCUAAGUCUUGUAUGUUGUGGGUCCAAGGAUUGGACUUGUUUGUCCAGCACAUCCCGCAGAUGCUUGUUUGGAUUGAGAUGUAUCAGGGAUAUUUGAAGGCCAAGUCAACUCCUCAAAAUCAUUGUUGAGCUCCUGAAACGCUUCUUAUCUAAAUCCAAAAUAGACAUAUUCUGCACACAGAGCAGGGGCUUAUUCUACGAAGCAGGAUUACUGCUUCGUGAGGUAACUUCAAGGUUCAAGUUUGGUGUUUCCUGUUCUACGAUGCAGGUUCACUUCUUAGCAAGGUGAGUCUCCAUGGCAACGUACGCUGAACGGCUAACCUGCUCCGGGGCAGGUAAGGAUCCAGAUUGAACUCACAGAGUAUAAAAACCCCGCCCACUGACCAAUGAGCUGUCUCGAAAAAUGGCUUGUCCGUUUUUGGAGGAUCCUAUAGACCUCGGUGCUCGCAUAGUCCGAGGAGCACUCCAGCGCGCGAGAGUUUUUAGGGACCGCACAGACCCACUUACUUUUCCGGAUGACCACCUUUAUGAAAGGCUCAUAUGGCCUACAUAUCACGCAAAAAAUGUAAACAUGAUAGAAAUGAACAAAUGAAUUCAUUUUGGAAAUGAAUUAGACAUGUCUGAUGCAUGUUAGAAGUGCAUGUUAAACAGCGCUAUUUUAGGGUGAAAAUGGCAUCAAAGAUUUUUUGCACACUAUACUUGAGACUGUCUGCAAUUUUCUGCCAGCAUUCCUUCCGUGCUUUUGCAGCAGCAAUGGUGUUGCCUUUGAGGUUUAUGAUUGAUUUGAACGCUUCAUACUUUCUCAUGAUCGUCUCCUGCUCCUCGUUUGUAAAGUCCGCGGUCCUUCGCUCUCUGGUCUGCUCUGACGAUCCAGACUGGUCCAUGUUCAUGAUUGGUCAGAUGCGGCAGGCUCCGCCUUACAUGCGUGCACGCGCUCAUAGCAAAGCUGGAUCCACUUACAAGGUUGAUAACUAGCGUCGUAAGACCGUUUAGCGAGACCGCUAGCUACCGCGCUAAGUUGAACUUGCUUCGUAGAGUAGGCCCCAGGUAUCACAGCUAUGCACCAAGGCUACGUUCACACUGCAGGUAAUGAUGCACAAUUCAGAUUUUUUGUUAAAUCUGUUCUUUUUGUGCGGUCAUUCACAUUGCAAUAACGAAUGCCGCACCUAAUGUGGAAUGCGUCUGUGAAGUGACCCGCAUGCACACAAAGCACAAAUUGCUUUCCACGCCUGUUUGUGUUGUCAAACAAUGGUGAUGUUUGUCGCAUAUUGAUGACGUAUAGGUCGGAUGAAUGGACCUGAGCAUCCACACUGCAGUCACAUCGGAUACAUAUCCAAUUUAUAUUCAUAUACAAAAGAGGCCUGGGUCGGAUUUGAAAAAGCUGAAUUACAUUGUUUACACUUAAACGAAAAAAUCAGAUAUGUGUCACAUAUGGUUAAAAAAUCAGAAUUGACCUGCAUUGUGAACAUAGCCUAAAUUAUGCAAACCAUUUAUUUUUUGUUUGUUUUUAACCUCUUUCUUGAAAGUCUUAUAAGUCUUAAAAAAAAAGGGUACACAGUACAAUCUUAUAAAAAGCAAAUAAAAUCCAUAAAAGACAAUAAAAUGAAAUCAACCUCCUACUGAGUGUUAAAAGCCAAGGAGAAGAGGUGGGUCUUAAGAUGGGAUUUAAAAACAGACAGAGAGGAGGCCUGUCUGAUAUGCUGAGGCAGGUUAUUCCAGAGUUUAGGAGCUGCAACAGCAAAGGCAUGAUCCCCUCUGAGCUUCCGCUUUGUUUUAGGCUCUCUCAGGAGCAGCUGAUCAGCUGACCUGAGAGACCGGGACUGAGUGUAAAAAUGUAGAAGCUCAGAGAGGUAUGGCGGGGCAAGACUGUUGAGGGAUUUAAAAGCAAAUAAAAGAAUUUUAAAAUGAACCCUAAAAUGUAUAGGCAGCCACUACAGCGUUCUGCACCAACUGGAGCUGAGAGAUGGCCGACGCACUAACCCCCAAAUAUAAUGCAUUGCAGUAAUCCAGCUGAGUGGUAACAAAGGCAUGGAUUGCCGUCUCAAAAUGCUGCCUAGAGAGAAUUGGUUUUAUUUUACCUAGUCCCAGAGGUUCCACCAAAAAACACCACCUCUGUUUUAUUGUCAUUAAAAUUUAAAAAAUAUAUUUUUAUAUAUGUAUACUCCAGGUCCUCCUGUCUGAUUAGUUACAAAGAAGCUCACAUUAGAGCAGUAAACAUACUUAGUGUUACCAUUAAGUCACCAUUUUUCCAGACAGAAAUAAAUGAUCUACCAGACCUGCCCUGCAUGUAGAGAUUAAUUAAUCCAAACCUGGAUCAAAGGUUAAUGUUUCUGUUCCUCUGUGUUAUCAUGUGUGAGGCUACAUGAAUGUAGGAAUGUUCAUGCUAAUAUCCAGCUGUAAACAUUAAUGGGGUGUGAAAUUAGCAUGCUACAUCCUUGUUCCUCCAUCCUUCAUGCCUGACUUAACUCCUCACGGGUGCUCAGCACUCCUCAGACCUGUUGUUCUUCCUGCCUGUGCUCUGUGACAUGUCCUCCAUCAGACCUUUUUAACAGGAAACAAACUGAACAUACAUCAUUUCAAACCAGUUUGUCAAAAUGAGUCCUUCAUAGUUCAAGUCUGCUUGAAUGAGGAAAGAAAUGUCAAAUGUGCACUUUGAUGAGAAGUACAACAGAUGAGCCAGAAGGUGUUCAAGUUGUCUGUAAAUUACAGCAGGUUUGGAGUUAAGUUGUGCCGAGAGGAAGCUGGUGGGAACCUGUCUCUACAAUCUUUCUUAAACUUGUAUUUUGUGUGAACUCGUUCAAUGAACGAACUCCCUAUCAGCACCGCUGUGUCACUCACUCAUGUACUGCACUGGCAGGAUGAAGCUAUGACUGAUACGAUGAACAAAUCUUUUGAACGAAUCAUUGUAUGAACAGAUUCUAAAGAUUCAGUACAGUCAAACGAACUGUUCUUCCCAUCACUAAUACUGACCGGACUGACAUCCAAUGUCCUUAUGUCUGUUGUGAAACUUACGUUUAGUCCAUUCUUGUUGAUCAAACAGUGGACAUGUGUGGCAACCAUAUCAUAGAGGGCAGAGAGGGACAAAUUUGAGAAGAAGCGAUGAUUUGGGAAGUGUGUAAGGUGGCUCCAAUUGUGCUAUUAACUUGUAAAAACCUGGGGUUAUCGACUACAGUAAAAGGCCAAUUGUCCAGCGCUAUAAAUUCCAUCACUUUUUCGUUAAUGACUUUAGCCUUUUCCCUGUCUUUUGCAAAGUUUUUACAGGUUUCACAGGUUACAGGUUGUUUUACCCUUAGCAGCGCUAGUUGCAUCCACAGCAGCUUUGUAUUCUUUCAAUACUACUGCGCCAAAAAUGAUGACUUUUCAGAUGUGCUAUCAGAUUUGUUAGAGCUUGAAGCUUCCUUUCCUCCUCUCGAAAUCCCUGCAACUUGUUUUUGCAUACAGCGAUGCUGCUGUUAUCUGCUGCCACCAAGAAAAACGUCCACACUGGUGUAGACGUGCUAGCUCAGGUGAUGUGCUAUUAGUGCUCAUUCAUUGUCAGUCAGGCAGUGAGGGGGCCAAGCUUGGGUCCUUCUGGGGCAUGGUAGACAACAAAACCAGCGCUACACAGCAUGUUUUGGGGCUACUCAGCUUAUAAAAAUUUUUGCCAUUGUCAUUAAUCUAUCGGAUCAAUUUAUCCAAUUUAAUUUACCUUUCAGACUGAUUAAUAUAAAAUCAGCUGAUGUGUUAACAGCCUGAUAAGUAUCGUGCAUCCUUAGUUGGACUACAUAUGUUCCUACUCCUCAUUUUGGCCCGGUAAUCCAAUGACUACCUGCAUCCCUGUUGGGUCUAAAACCUGCAACAAAUGACUCAAACACAAAGAAGAGAAAGACAAUGGUAUUAGAUUUCUUACUCGCGAGGAGAACGGACAGAGAUACGUUCAGUUACAAUCUCCAACUGCUCUGAAGCAUAUCUUGUCGUCUCCUCUCUUUUUAUUAUCCUUCGGGUGGUCCCUAGUUACAAAACGCUGCAUGCACUAAAGGGUGGGGAAACAGUCUUGCAGCAGCGUGGUACCUUACAUCACUCAUAAUCAUUAACAAGCAGACAAUCUGUGGGGGUAAGGUGACCUUGUUGACAUUUCACAAUCUCCUUCUUAUGGUUGGAACGGUUCCUCCUCUACUAUUGCUCCCACGUCUCACAGCGGAGGUUACAAAACACAUACCUGCUAAUUGGAGAAACAAGGUCAGAGAAGUUAGAAAACACUCAUGAGUACUUUCUCAUGUGCUGUGUAACAAGAAGGUAAAGCAGUUCAUAGUUGUAAGAAACUUUUCCAUUUGGAAUUUGAGUAAGACUAUUGAUAAUUUCUAUAUACAUUUAUACACAUUAUUCUGACAAUCCCUUACUUGUAUCAUUCAGUGCUUUGUAUCCCUCGAAUCCAUGCAACCUGUGCUAGAAAAAUCAUUGAGUUCACAAACUGUAUAAUUUAUGUUAACACAGUAGUGCCAUAAAUAUUACACAACAACACAAGGUUUUUUUUAGCUUAUAUUUCGCUUGUUUUGUCUUCUGUGUGGAGUUCUACACUGGUUGUGAAACAAUUUUUUUUCUAGUUUAAAUAAUUUAUAAAAGACCAGAGAAAACAGCAACCCUGCAGCAGCCUGCAGGAGUUCCUUUUUUUUGUAAGAGUUAAAAAUAAUCUGAGUCCCUCAGAUGUUGUAGAGAAAUAAUUUAUCUGGCUUUUUUUCAAAAGACGUUUAGACUGUUACACAUUAUAGUCAAACAUUUGAAUGCUUAUGAUGGGUCAGAUUUAUGAUGAGUAAUUUUCAUGUACAAACUGUCUCAAUAAGUCAAAAACUUUCUGACUGUGCAACAGUAGAUGCUCUGCAACAUGUUGGGAACAGCACACUGAGGGCUCUAUUUUCGUUCGCGCCGGUGAGGCAGCGGAGGGCGGCGAGCCCCGCGCAGUUGUAUUUUCGUCUGGCGUGUAAGGCGAGUUUGGUAUUUUCGUGGAGACUGAGUCGCACGGAGGCGAGCCGAGAUCCGCCAAGCUGGGCGUGGUGGCGUGGCAGGGGGAGGUGUUGACAGAAUCAGCUGUCAACACCUAUAUCUGAUCUGAUGAGCGCGUUUGGCACGCGUUUGGCACGCGUUUGGGCACACAACCUGACUGAAUCAAUACAGCUGAAACUGCAUCAAAUUAAAUUAAAUAUCUAGUAAAUAAACACACAUGAUGAAGUUAACAAGAUAUGUAAUGUGUCUCCCUCCUUUUCUUUCUUCCUCUUAUUUCUCGCACAGCUCGACCUGGACACGUCUCCGUGUCCUCUGUCCGUCUUGCUGCAGCUGCUGCGGCUGAACAGAUGAUUUGUUUCAGUGCUCAGAUGCGUUAUCUACUUUAAGCCGACAUACGGAUAUUAUAAUAUUCAGUUUUGUGGGCCACAUUUAUACAUUUUAUAUGCCAACAUCUAUGAAAGAAAGAGCCAGGCCACGGAGCGCGAUGUGUCAUUUACGCACAGAUGGUUCCGAUUUUAAUGCCAUUUUUGGAGUUUAUGUUGUGAUCUGUGCGCUAAACCCACCUUUGUCACGUGAGGUUUGAAUAUAUGCAACUUUAUGUGAGUGUCUUUUUUGUGGAAAAGGGUGUUUGUCUUACCAGUGGGUCCAACAUUACGCACACCAAAUCUAUCUGUGCUCAGAUGAGAGAGUGUGGAGGACACUUGUUGAGCAGCUGCCCUCUGUCGCCAUCGUGUGGCAUAACUGUCUUCAGACAUCUCUUGAUCUCUUUGACUACUUCAUGAAAAUAGUAAUACGCCUCGCCGGUGGCGGAUUUAAAGGCAAGGAGAGGAGCUUAUGUGAUUGGUGAAAACAGGUCUCGGCUGUGUUAAACCCCUAUACGCCCUCUCUCCUCCCCGUCUACGACUUAUGCUGCCGGGAACGCCUUGUCAGCGCGGCGGAUCUGAUUGACGCUGCGCUUGCGGCACGUCUUCGGCGAGGCACCAAAAUAGAGCCCUGAGUGUGUAGAAAUGGGAAUAUUUAGAGAAAUCAGCGAUCAAAUUUUAGACUGGAACACUCUCUCACUUACCUCUUUUUAAAGCUGCUCCACCAAGAAAACUGCUUUUAUGAAAUAUGAAUAUCUUUAAAUAUUUUAAUUAAUUUGGUUAAAAAAUUCAAGCUUCGUGUGUGUCAUUGGGUCCUGUACCAUGAUGGCUGUGUUUUAGUUGUAAGGGGUUUAUGGAUAUAGCCUUUUUAAUCACUGAAGUAAACUAAACUGCAGAAAAAUUAUGCACAAACAUGAGAGAAAUUCUGCGCCUGCAGAAAUAGGAUUUCAGCUCAAAAGAACAUCAUCUGCCCUUGGCCACACGCCAUCUGCAUCCAAGGACAUCAGCGCUCUCCUGAGAGAAGCUUUUGCUCUGCAGCCUGCCUGGUCCAUUCAUCCAUUACACAACUGUCAGAACAGCACAGUGGGAGUGCAACACUUUAAGGAAAUGGAUGAGAGGUGGACUCGUGUAAAAAAAAUGUGUUAUGAACAUUGUUUGACGUAAAUCACUACAAAUCAGAAUUUUAUCUGAAUGUUAUAAUCUGAAUUUGAGGGAGACUCAUUUGAAGUUCUGGAUAUCAGGUUUGUGGUUACAAGGCCAGGAAAGUAGAUGCACUGUGUUAGUUCUGAAAACAUGAAGAGAUUUAUUAUAAAAUAUUAGCCUUGAUGGAUAAGUGUAUGGAUGUUGUCAAAAACAUGAGUGAGGGAGAGUUUAUUGAUUAAUGCGAUCAGUAACACUGUUGGUAGUUUCUGAGGAUUAUGACAAAUCUUUCAGCUGCAUGCGAGUGCUGAGUGCUUGUAUGUUAGUAGGUUAAUGCACAACAGUGGAAAAAGCUAAACAAAAAAGCUAAAUACUACAGAGUGUGCCAACAAGUUGCAGACUUCAAGAGUACUCAGACAAAAACUACCAUACUUGCGUCUUCAUACAUACGUAUGAACAUAUGUAUGUACAUACAUACGUCUUCUACUACAACAACAUAUUCCAUUAACAGUCACAGUUUACACCCACUUAAUCAACAGUCUCUGCAAAGACAGACUUGAGAAUUGGCAGCACGUACUCUGACUGUUUAAGGGGCCAUAAAAACAAAGAAGGACAUCAAAGCUGUGAUAAAUGUAGAUCUGCCUUUACCAGCAUUUUGAAGACUGUUUUGUAAGCUUGUUGCUGGUCUAGUUCUUCUGUGAUCAGACUCAGAUAAUUCUGACAUCCAUCCCGUGUUACUAUCCUUUUCACGGCACACAGCUGAGGAAAAAUCAUUCUAAACACACUACACAAAAAUAUGGUACAAUAAUCUUUAGAGCCUUUGCUGAUUUGUGUUGAAAGAUGGGAGUCAGGCCCAGAAUCUGCCCUACUAUCUGGAAGUAUGCUAUGCUUCCUCCAGUAUUGAAGUAUUGAAACACAUUCAGAUAGUCUGCACAACAUUUUGUUUUAGUGUUAUUAUUUCUUGCCCAAUAAUAGUAAGAAUCUACAUGUUUAGAAAUCAAAGCCUCUUACUUUAUCCAACACUCUCUGGGUAGAAAGAAAAUCCACAUAAGAAUCAAAAACAACUGGCUAGGGAAGUCAACAAAAAACUCACUUACAAUAUCCUUGAGGAAAAAUAUAUUUUAUUUUUUAUUAUUUGUAGUUUUGUAUUUGCACAACAACCACUAUUAAAAACACAGUUCAUGAAUCUGGCUUUGCUUACUGCCAUAAAACAUUAAACAUUUAAACAAAUAAAAACUAAGAAAGAAAAACAGGGUAAAGAUGAAAAUGAAAAGGAAGAGGAAUAAUUCAAGAGAGAAUUACAUAAAUGCUUUUAAGAUUUGCAGGGGACAGAGAAUACUUUAAAUGUUUCACAUUCAUUCAAGUAUGAUUAGCAAAAAGGUAUUCUGUUCCAAACAUGAGAAUUUUGUGAUUAACAUGUCAUGCAUUUUACAAUAUGUAAAUCAUAUUCAAAUCACCAUGGUUUGCUCAUAUUUCUUUUGUAAAUGAGAUUGUGGGAAUACAGAUUCUGUCCUGUUCACUGAAAUUUCUGAUUAAGCUUCUUUUAAGCUUCUGCAGCAGUGACUAUGAAUCCUAUGAAAGGUGACGGAAAGGCUGCACAAAGAUUUAACAUCAUUAUCAGCAAUCGGACAAGUGAAGCAGACAGUUUUGACUGUGGACCCUCAGAUCCCAUCAGAGAACGCUCCAAUUACAAAGGUGCUGCAGGGUGUGAGGCUGAGGAAUCUUGGUGGGUUACACAGUCCACUGAGAUGAUUUGUGUCUGCAGUGGGUGUUGAGGGGCUAUGUCUUUGCUCGCUCAAGAGGGAGCUUGCAUGCAAGAUGUCUUGGUUUUAUUAAAAAGCGAUAUGCAUUAUGAUGUUUAUCAAGUUGGAACUUGAUAACGCACACACACACACACACACACACACACACACACACACACACACACACACACACACACACACACACAUAUAUAUAUGUAUAUAUAUAUAUAUAUAUAUAUAUAUAUAUAUAUAUACAUAUUAUAGGCCAAACAGUUGGGAGUAACUUCAAGUUUUUGUUCACAAUGCUUUUUUUAAAAUCCAGCAUGAGUUUUAUGUUUUUUGGGAUGUAUUUACUCCAUGGUCAGACGUUGCUUUCAUGGAAAUGCACCAUUUUACUCCAUUUACCUUUAGAUAUACAUUAAUGUGAACACACCAUUGCUAAAUAUAUGUCAGCAAAAGAAAAUAAGGGCUUAGUUGCGGGGUUAAAAACAUUUGCAAGAGUCACAACUUCAGUUCAAAAGCAACAAAACAAAUCACAGUUGGAUUAUUCACUUCAACUUUUUGGCUUCCGAGAGUCUGCAUACAAAAAUCCUAAUAAAUCUCAACUGCGUUCAAACUACCACAGAAAUGGCUAGAAAGAAGACACUGAGUAAAGAAACUAAAGUACAGAUUUGUACGUUGAGGAAAGAAGGAUACACAGAAAGAGAAAUUGCAAAAUGCCUAAAGGUGUCUAACAAAGGAGUCCACUACACUCUGAAGAGACUAGAGGAACCUGGAAGUUAUGGUGAUAAAAAAAGGCCUAGAUGAAAGAGAGUUACUACAAAAGCAGAGGAUAAGGGAGAAUUAAGGGAGAAAUUCAACAUGAUAAGGUCAAAACCCAUAUCUCUUACAACCUUGAAAUGACGUUUGAAAAAGGCUGGUCUGAAGGGUUGUGUAUCUGCAAAAAAAAAAAACCACUACUUCGUUCACGGAACAAAAAAAAGGGAAAUGUAUGGGCAAAAGCUCACAAAAAUUGGACUUAUGAUGACUAGAAACAAGUUUGAACUGUUUGGUUUAAAAUGCAAAAUCUGUCUGCAGACAAACUGGUGAACGUCUGAAAGCACCAUGUGUUAAACCCACAAUUCAGCAUGGAGGUGGUAGUUCCAUGGUAUGGGGAUAAUAUGCAGGUGAUGGAGUAGGAGAUUUGUUUGAAGUAAAGGGUAUCAUGGAGAAGGAACAGUACCAUUCCAUCCUCCAGCACCAUGCUGUUCCAUCUGGACUCAGACUUGUGGCUCAUAAGUUUGUUUUUCAGCAAGACAAUGACCCUAAGCACUCUGCCAAGCUCUGUCAGGGUUACCUAGACAAAAAAGAAGAGGAAGGUGUUCUUCAAAAGACGGUUUGGCCCCCUCAGUCUCCAGACCUUUCUCCAAUUGAGCUUGUGUGGGAUGAAUUGGAUCGAUCGGUCAGAAAAAUGCGUCCCACAAAUCAGCAGUCUCUUUUUAAUGAACUUAAGAAAGCUUGGAAUGCAAUCCCUGGAACAUACCUUAAAAAACUUGUGGAACGAAUGCCUGGUAUUUUCCAAGCUGUUGUUAAAGCCAGAGGAGGUUACUCUAAAGAAAGCAAAGUCUAAGCAACAAUUACUCAAAUACCUAAUAAUUAUAGUCAAAAUGUCUUCUGAUAAGUUACUCUUUACACAAUAGUCAUGUUUAUUGUGUUGCAAAUUAUAUGAAACUGUGAUCUUUUUUUUCUACAUAUCUGAUCUUGCCUCCAAACUUUUGGCCUGUAGUGUAUAAUCAUACAUAACCAACAAAGGCCGAGGGGAAGAUAGGGACUAUAUACACACACUGGGAAACGAGCAACAGGUGAGGCAGGUGAGACAAAGGUGAAACUCAGGCUGUGUCUCAUUUCAGAGACCGCAUCGGGCUAAGUACACUUCUGCACCGUCGAACGGUGCAUUUGAAGCGUGCAUGACGUCACGACGGCACGAACGGUAUCCCAUUUGGCACGAGAUGCUAAGAAAUGCUAAGCGCGCUUAGCAUUUUUUCAAGCGUGCAUUUAUGCACGCUUUCGUGCCGUCGGUAUCCCAGAAUUCUUUGCGUGCCACUGCACAGCUUCGCAUUUCAGGUGAGAGGCUGGACUCGCUUGGAGGCACAGCGCGUCUUCAAAGAAAAUACAAGAAAUCCAAAACAGCAGUCAGCUCAGGCUGUAUGAGAGCAUGAUCUCUUAACUCACUAAAAUCUGUAAACCAAACAUUAUAGAUUUAGACACGAACUGAUCCGCUCUGCUUCAACAAUCAAAAACAUUAGAAAUAAGAAAGCUGACAAAACUACAGCAGAGUAUCAGGACAUCAUUGAGUUUUUUUUUUUCUUUUAAAAUUUAGAGAUUAAAGUUGUAAAUUUAGGAGAAUAAAGUCAUAAAGUAUAAAAAGUCAUAAAGCUGCUUUUGUGGAGGGAGAAAUGACUGAAGCUGGUCAUCUGCAGGGUUAUCUGUGGAUGUAUCAGCAGGUCAUUCAGAGAGAUUUUGUGGUUUCUGAAGAAACAAACUGAUGAUCAACAUUUGUGAUCCAGAGGGAGUCGAGCUCAGACGAGCACCACGUCUCUGACACCGGCGGUAACCUACACCUGCAGAGACACCAACACCUUAUUAUGGCAUAUGGAUUUAUAUCAUAAACUAAAGCUCAAUACCAUUCACGGAUAUUUACGGCUGCAUUGACAGAUAUAUCCUCAGCAUAUUCAUUUCUGCCUCCACAAAAGCAGCGAUUUCCUUCAAGUACACCAGUUUUUUUCCCCGUGGAAAAGACGUAUUUCUCAUAUAUUCUUUAUACUUAUAAGUCUUUAUACUUAUGACAAUGUGAUGCUGAUGUGCCAAAGGAUGAAGUAUCUCUUUGUUUGUGAAACCUAUACUGAAGCACAGUUCCUUCAAAUGCUUCAUGGCCCUAAUUUUAACAAGUCUCCUCUGAAAUAACAGGUUACGACUUCAAUCUCAUAAAUUAAUGACUUUAUUCUCGUAAAUUCACGACUUAAAUCUCGAAGUCUUUAAAAAAAAUUCUCAAUAUAGCCCUCAUACAAAACAAUCAUUGGAUUAAUUUUGUGGGAAUGAUCUGUGCUUGUACAGUAUGUAUCUAUUAUUUUGUGUCUGUGCAAGGUCGCACAAUUAAAACAAUACAUGCUGCGCUCUGCAGCUUAUUUUCUAGUCAGUCGUGACGUAAGCCUGAGGGUGGGGACAUUUGGAGACCUUUGGAGGACUUCCUGGUGGAGUCACCAAAUGUCCCCGCCCUCAGGCUCGCGUCACGACUGACUUAAAGAAAACCAGCGGAGCGCAGCAUUUAUUUUUUCAUUGUGCGACCUCGCACAGACACAAAAUAGGAGAUACAUAGAAGCACAAUUAAUCAAAUGAUUGUUUUGUAUGAAGGAGUAUGAGGGCCAUAUUGAGAUUUAAGACUUUAAAGACUUCGAGAUUUAAGUCGUGAAUUUAUGAGAAUAAAGUCAUUAAUUUAUGAGAAUAAAGUUAAAAGGUUCCCUGUUAUUUCAGAGGAGACUUGUUAAAAUUAGGGCCAUGAAGCAUUUGAAGGAACUGUGCUUCAGUAUAGGUUUCACAAACAAGGAGAUACUUCAUCCUCUGGCACAUCAGCAUAACAUUGUCAUAAGUAUAAAGACUUAAAAAAAGAAUAUAUGAGAAAUACGUCUUUUCCACGGGGAAAAAAAACUGGUGUACUUGAAGGAAAUCGCUGCUUUUGUGGAGGCAGAAAUGAAUAUGCUGAGGAUAUAUCCGUUUAUGCAGCCGUAAAUAUCCGUGAAUGACAUUGAGCUUUAGUAUAUGCCAUAAUAAGGUGUUGGUGUCUCUGCAGGUGUAGGUUACCGCCGGUGUCAGAGACGUGGUGCUCGUCUGAGCUCGACUCCCUCUGGAUCACAAAUGUUGAUCAUCAUCAGUUUGAUUGUUUCUUCAGAAACCACAAAAUCUCUCUGAAUGACCCGCUGAUACAUCCACAGAUAACCCUGCAGAUGACCAGCUUCAGUCAUUUCCCCCUCCACAAAAGCAGCUUUAUGACUUUUUAUACUUUAUGACUUUAUUCUCCUAAAUUUACAACUUUAAUCUCUAAAUCUUAAAAGAAAAAAAAAACUCAAUGAUGUCCUGAUACUCUGCUGUAGUUUUGUCAGCUUUCUUAUUUCUAAUGUUUUUGAUUGCUGUAGCAGAGCGGAUCAGUUGUCUCUAAAUCUAUAAUGUUUGGUUUACAGAUUUUAGUGAGUUAAGAGAUCAUGCUCUCAUACAGCCUGAGCUGACUGCUGUUUUUGGAUUUCUUGUAUUUUCUUUAAAGACGCGCUGGGCCUCCAAGCGAGUCCAGCCUCUCACCUGAAAUGCGAAGCUGUGCAGCGGCACGCAAAGAAUUCUGGGAUACCGACAGCACGAAAGCGUGCAUACAUGCACGCUUGAAAAAGGGGCGGGGGUAGUGUGGUUUUGAGACCGAAUUUUAAGCGUGCUUAGUAUUUUGUGCCAAACGGGACACCGUUCGUGCCGCGUGAUGACCUCACGCACGCCUCAGAUGCGCCGUUCGACGGUUGCGGUCUCUGAAAUGGGACACAGGAAGGGUACAUAACGGCGCAAAACGGCAGUGCACUCAGCUAAGCGCCUUUAAGCGCACUUAUCCCGAUGCGGUCUCUGAAAUGAGACACAGUCACAGUGAUUAACAAAGGAGGGAAAACUAGGGAAGUAAAACUAGACUAGAAACACAAAGAAUCAACUACUACAAAAUAAAACAGGAAAUAAACACUGAACACUGAUCUAAAGAAUAAAACACUGAGAACAGAAAGGAAAAAAGGGUCAAAGACAAACUGAAAACUCACAAGUCUGGACUACAGGGGCAGAGGAACAAUGGGAAACAGGAACAAUAGGGAAAAUACACAAAAUGCACUCAAAUAAAACCUGGAGAAAACUAAAUAAACAGAACAUAUCAUGACACUUUGCAUAAAUAUGGUGAGGACAUCAGGUGAAAAAUGACACUUCUGCCAGAGCCUGGCAUUCCUGCUGUUAUAUCCAAAUGUUUAGCUAAAGUUGUAUUUCACAUCAAACUGAUUUUUGCCCUUUAAGUUUAAUUAAAACCUCUGUCCAAAUUAAGCAAUAAAUAAAUACAUCAAUAAAAAAUCACAACAAUCAACUUUUAUCGAGUCAUCAGGGUGUUCUUUUUUAUGAAGCAAAACUUUAAACUAAAAGGUUUUUUUAUUUUAUUUUAUUUUUUUCUAAGAUCUCAUUAGUAACUAAAAUCCUUGAGGAAAAGACCUCCUUCUGCUCACCUCGGUUGAUAUCAUGGAGGCUGACUCCUCAUUGCAGCAGCAGGGUUGAGUCUGUUCUCUUUGCUGGAUGCUGCCCUCUCACCCCUUCUGCUUCUCUUCUGCUUUCAUUGAAGAAAAGCACAACAGCCCCCAAAAUAAUAGAAAAAGACUGCACAUGAAAUACACAGACAUCAAAGCUAACAUUCAUCCUGCCUUUUCUCUACUUGAAAAGACUUUCUAAAAAGUACAUCUGAUGAAAUACACAUUGCGUAGGAGUGCAGGUUCACAGAAGAGAGUCAUUACUCUGUCUGGCAUGAUGACUAACCCAAUCACAACAGAUUUUAGGUGUGUAUUUACUCUGGUCCCCUGUCUGUCUGCACCACAAAGCACAAGAACUGAGAAAAGAGCUCUCUCACCUGGAUGUCAGUGUGUCUGCAGGUAGAGGGAGAGGCCACCUCAGGUUCGGAAACAGAGAGGAACAAAUUAAGAGAAAAGAGGAUGCUGACAGGGUCAGGCACAGAUAUGUUUGGGAGCUGUCUUGAUGUGAAAAAGAGGAGGGCACAAAAGAGGGAACAACUCUUCUGAGCUCUGACCACACAAGAACCAGCCUCAGAGUGAAGUAUCUGUCUCCUCUUCAUAAUAUCCAAACAGCACUCAGGACUUACAAAAAGUGCUUGAAGGUGUUUGUGAUCCCAAGACUAAAAAUACCAAAGAGAGAAAAAAACAUGCAUGUUGACCUCAGUAAUUUUACUGUGAGCCAGUGUUGUCUGAACUGUCAAAUCUAAGGACUCAAAUUUCAAAAACGAACACCAAUCCCAAAAUUAGAAAGAGCAAAUAGAGUUGCCAUCCUUGUUGCUAAGGAACAGGUCCUUUUUAAACCUGUCCCCAGUUAUAAUGAGCUGGGCACAGGUAACGAUCUCUUACUGCACUAAGGUCAGCAAGCUUUAAAAGCAGAUCCACAGAAGCAGAACAAACACAGGUAAAGCAAGCUGCAAAGUGCUACAGGAGAGUAGUUAUUUGAGGAACGGAAAAAAAGGGGGCUUCAAAAAUCUAAAAUCAAAGUCAGUCAAUACAGAUGUUGAAGCCAACUCUUGCAGCUACUAAAGUAGUGUCUAUGAACAAAAUGCAUGUGCUACAAACUAGCUUACAAGUUCUAACUUCAAGCUAAUAUUUUCAAAUGACUGAAUAAGUGGCACAGCCUAAAAUUAAAAAAAAUUUUAAAAAGAAAAAAACAUGUCACUAGAAUCUAGAUGGGCAAAUGAGGAUAAGAAAGAAAAACAGGGUAAAGAUGAAAAUGAAAAGGAAGAGGAAAAUUGAAGAUAUAUUUUGUUAGUCAGUUUUUGUAAGUUUGUGGGAGCUAUUUUUGUCAAGGUUGGAUUGCCACUGUAGCACACAUAUUUUUAAGUCAGUUAGUAUUUUUUUCCAAUAGAGAAGAGACAUUAUUUCUAUCAUUAUUUCUAAAACUUGUCAUGAUGAAAUGUGACAAAAUGUCGUCACUCCGUUAUGUCUUAAUUUUUUUAAACUUUUAUGAUCUGUUUUAGACAAAAUAAACUAUGUUCAACAUCAAAUUUCAUUCUUUCAAGAACAUAUUAAGCUUAUCUACUCAGCAUUUUCAUCCCCCUUAUUAAACAUUUUAAUAUAUUCAUUAAGUAACAUUUUAACAUAUCUAAAAACAUACUGACAUGAACUUGUCUGAAAUGACGCAUUUUAAACAAGGCUACACAAUGUUGUUCACUUUGUGAGCAAAAGGACAUGAGAGUCACUUAGUGCACCAAGAAAAAUGAUACCAUGGAGAGGACAGGAAAGCCCUCUGGCUACUAGACUUAAGUCCCUGUAUGCUGAAAAAGGCCCAGUACACCAAAGGGUUGUAUUUCGAAGAGCUAGUACUCUGUAUUGGAGUGUACAGGUCAACUGAAACUCUGUUAACCUAAGUAGGUCUGCCAACAUAGUCCAAAAAAGUGUAUUUGGUUUGACUAUACAUUAAGUUGAUAUUUAUAUCUAGACCAGUGUGUUUUAUUUCACCUUGAUGAGGUUAGACUGCAAACUUCCAGCAGUCUUCCUCAUGAAGAGUCGUGUGACUUUGUAGGCAAAUAUCACUGUAGUGCAGACUGUAUGUUUCAUACUGUGAGUUAUACAUCAUGUAGUAGCCAAAUGCCUUAAAAAAGGUUUCUCCUUUUUUCCUUCCUUGUGUCUGUUUGUUUAAAGGGUUUCCUUUUCCCAGUCAUCACACGCGCAAACUUUCAAAAAACAAAUUCUUGGAGAGCUGGAUGAAGUUGCCUUGUUUUUUAUUGUAAAGGUAAAUACGUAAAUGAAUGAAUAACAUAGAUUAUUUAAACAAUAAAUCACAGCUUGAAAGCCUGCGGUCAAUGACAAUUUGAGCUGUGAGCCAUCAUCUGUCCAUGUGUCAGCUGCUCCUAAUUAUAGGUGAGUGCACCCUCACCACCUGCGGCGAGAGCAGACACAAUUCAAAAAACAAAAUUCAACUAUGUAAAUAAAAACUCCAAUGUGGCUCCUACACACCACUUCACAAAUUCCUGCAUCUACACAGCUGUAAACACACACACACACACACACACACACACACACUUAAUAUUUUCUUGUGUCAUUCAUAUAACUGACUGUAUCGUCUGACACACACAAACACACACAUGCACAAACACACAGUAUUUUCUCAGUCAUUCAUACAUACUGACCAUCUCUCUUGACACACACACACACACACACACACACACACACACAUGCACUCUCACACACCCUGCGAUUAAGCCCACCAUGUGUUUCAGGGAUUAGGUUGUGCAUAUCUAAAGAGGCACGCCAUACCAUCUGUGCAGGGACUAAACAACCUUACCUCCUGACACACACACACACACACACACACACACACACACACACACACACACACACACACACACACACACACACACACACACACACAGUGGAGUCUGCUCUUAAUCGCUUGAGUGUACACUUCUUUAAUUGAGUUUCAAGAGGGAAUAAAAAACAAUAGCAUGAAUGUUGCCCAUGUUUGCAUGCUAAAUGAUCAUUAUGUACAUCACUGUGCACGUGCACGUGACUCUACAUGUGCAAUCAAAUUGAUAACGCAUCAACACACAGCAGGGACUGUGUAGCAUGGCUUAAGUUUAGUCUGCAGGCUGUGUUUGAUUUAUUUGUGCUGAUGGAGGGUACUGGAGAGUGUAUUUGAUUUACUAAUGCAUUUUUAUGUGUGUAUUAUACUGCCAGCAGUGUACUGCAGCAUAAAUUAAUGUACAGGACAGAUGGCCUCUUUAUGUGCUUGACUCUGUGUGCAUGUAUACGUGUAAGUGUUUGUGGUUUUAAAAUUUCCUAUGUUGUUGUUUGAAGUGAGUUUAUCAUUUUUUGACUCUGAAAAUACUCACACAUCGGGUGCUCUUUUAACCUAUUUUUUCAAGACAAAACUCUAACCUCCCCUUUUUCUGAAUUUUAAAUUAUAAUCAAAGUUUCUAUUCAAUCAUUUUUUGACUCUGAAAAUACUCACACAUCGGGUGCUCUUUUAACCUAUUUUUUCAAGACAAAACUCUAACCUCCCCUUUUUCUGAAUUUUAAAUUAUAAUCAAAGUUUCUAUUCAAACUACAAAUGAAUCCUGAUGCUUAUAUUUGUGUACUACAAGUUUGGGCCAUUACAGCAUAGUAAAUUUAUCACACUGGUCGUAAACGUUGAUUUUGCACCUUUUGAAAUUAUUUUUACACCAUUCAAAGAACUAAAGUGCAUGGACUUAAGUUCACAUUGCAAAGAAAAUGGCUGCAUGGUUGACCACACUUCGCUCAUUAGCAUGUUAGGUUCAGGGUGCAAAGAGAUUAGACCAAGUUCCUCUAUUGUUUAAAGGUGCUUUUUGGUAACGUGAACCAAAGUGGUUGGUGUGGCUGCUUUCAUUCAAUAUAUGUGUCAGGUGUGCCUCCUGAGUUUAGCACUUAAGACUCUAGCUAGCUCUUAAGACUUCUCUCUUUCUAUUAAUCCUCUCAACAUGCAGAAAAGACACCUAGUCACAAUCAGGGAAUUUCAGCAUUAACAGGUGUGCAGCAUGACUUCAUUUUUUUAAGACUUUGGACACAUGCUGACCUUGUUAGAUAGGAUCCAUUUAUAAACAACGUCCACAGAAAUCAUUGUUAAAAUCUCACAUGAACACUCUGCAUCAAAAGAAAAUCAGAGUGUUACAGACUAUAUGUCAUACUGCAAACAUAAUACAUGGUUACCUUCUAAUUAAUGUGGAGGAAGCACUAUGGUCAGUGGCAUUGAGAGUUGUGGUGUAGUUUGUGUAGCUUGUGUCUGUUGGUCUUGUAUGAACUGUGUGCUUUGUGACAUCUCAGGCUGCUGUAAUCUGAUUUAGGCUCAAGCCAAAAACAUACCAGAUCCAUAUUGAGCGUGUUCAGUAUUUGUUCAGUAGAGCAGCAUUAGGUAUCUCAUACAGGAUGUGUAUUUGGAGCGUGGCAGCAGCAUAGUGCGGCCCCGGUCAGCUGGGCUCAGUAUAGAGGAAACAACAUGCUCAAAACAGGUUGUUUCGCCUUACUGUGGUGUAUUUCCUGCUAAUCUGGAUAUAAUUCAGUGACCGCUGAGCCUCUACUAUAUGUGGAAAAAGCAACGUGAUUUUACAGUUUCGGUUUUUGCAGGUUUACUUGUGUUUAUUAAAGUAAACUAUGUUCCUUUAUGAAGUGCUGUUACCUUUAGACAGAGUUAGCAGUUAAAAGUCCUGUUGGGGUCCAAAUGGUUCAGGGAUUGUCCAUCAGAUUGUUCUGUGUUAUUGAUAAAUUCAUAACCAGGAAGUAUUUCUCAUCAACAAGGACUGAUACACAGUCGUGAGUUUACAUACAGUGUUUAAUUUUGAAAUACCGAAUGAUAUGCAUGGUUUUUGUGCUUGACUCUCUAUCUGGAACGAUUUUCUCUGUGUGGAUUGACGUGCAUUGGAGGCGUAGAGCAGCAAAAAAAGACUCGCCGCGUAUCUUUAGCAGUGCUGCUCUCGAUACGGUGGUGGAUGGAGCGUCCUGUAUGCUUUGCUGCAUUGAUUAGAAUGGCAACCUAUUUUCUGCGUGAUACGUGACACUGCUGCCACACUCCAAAUACGCAUCCUGUAUGUUUUAGCCUUUAGGUGAAACAGGUUUAUGAAUGUUAGAGGAGCCUGUCCUCUUAUUUUAGUAUCUCUAACCUCUUAUACCUAAACAGCAUCACUUGAAACUUUAGACCAGGUUUUUUUUGUUUGCAGUGAUUUCCUCUCUGAAAUCAGACCCACAAUCUGAAAAUCUUUGGCUGAUAUCCUCUUGCAUUCGAGGUUUGCGAAUAAUGUCAAUGAAGCAACUUUGAUAAACUGAUACCUUGUCUGGGUGGUAGGGCUGUUAGUUAUCAGGCUUUUCUCUACUGGAUUCAUCUGCCUGUCGGGGUGCAGGGGCAGACACCCUCUCUGAUUUGAAGAGCAGGUUGGAGCUGGUUUAGGUUUGAACCAUCACUUAGUUUAUUAUGCUACAGGCUCAGACUGCUAUCGACUUAGGGCCAAUCCCAAUCCGGCUGUUAAGCUGUGACGUAGCCGCGUUCUCUUUUUCCACUUCCGGGUCCAGCGGAGUUGUUGUUAUAAUGCCUCAGUGCUAUGUCCCUUGCUGCUUAAACUGAUCAGAGACAAAAACAGCGACUAAACUAUCAUUCUACAGAUUUCCUCCCAACAACAAAGACAACAAAAUAACUUCAUCAUUUCUGUAUUGUAUCCAUAGACUGUAUACAGUCUAUGAUUGUAUCACAAACACACGGCAUCACAUCCAUUCAUUCAUUGAAUUCAAAGCUUCGCGCACCAAAGCCUCGGGGUGUCUUUGGUUUAUCGUUUUACAUUUAUAGUCCACUUGAUGGCGCAAUAGAGCAAAUGAAGCACGAUCAUGAAGCUUCGGCCCAUGAGGCGAGUAAUUGGAUGGAAAGCUUCGAUGCUUCAUGAGGCUUCAUCUCGCCAUCACUAAAAUUUACGUUAAUAAAUCUAUCCGAGUUGAAAGCUUUAAGUCCCUUUUUAACUCUGAGUGGUUCCCUUCUGAAAAAGGACGUUAUUUUAAAGAGAUUCACGGGUUCCGCCAUUGUUGUUUUGAAUGGAGAGUGAAUGGAGGCUGAUUCCCCAUGGACCCAGAAGCCGCUCCACUCACAAAAUGACGUCACGCUUAACAGCCGGAUAGUCACUCUUUCCCCUUCCCCUUCCACUUCGUCUUACCCCUUUGUCUACCCCUUCCCCUUGACCCUGAAAACAGAGUGAAAACAAGCUCCUAAGAAACGAGGCGCCACUCGAUUCCUGCUACAUCAUCAUACUUUGCUGUUUGCAGUGAAUUUGCCACCCGAGUCUGACAUCAGUGUAGCUAUCAAUAGCUAUAGUCUCAUAAGCUAGCUCAUCAUAACUCACGAUUUUAAAACGCAAACAAUUCAAAACAUCACUAAUAUUUGCACUACUGAAAAUUGUUAAUGACCUUAGGUGCAACUUGGACUCACACAAGCUUACAGUCCUUGUGCUACUGGAUCUAAGCGCUGCUUUUGAUACAGUAAAUCACACAAUUCUUUUAAAUAGACUUAGGCACCUUGUAGGCCUCUCUGGUACUGCCUUUCAAUAGUUUAACUCCUAUCUCACAUAUCGAAAGUUUCUUGUAAGUUUGGACAUAUGCUCUUCAAAGAUUCAUAGCAUUAAAUGUGGUGUGCCCCAAGGCUCAAUUUUAGGCCCCAUACUUUUUAAUUUAUAUAUGCUCCCACUGGGAGAUAUCACCAGGACGCAUGGUAUCACUUUUCACAGCUAUGCUGAUGACACAUAGCUCUACAUAUCCAUGUCUCCUGAUGACACAGGGCCAAUCGAUGCCCUUUUUAGCUGUAUCCUAGACAUUAAAUUCUGGAUGGCAGAAAACUUCCUACAGCUCAACCAGGACAAAACUGAGGUUUUAAUUAUCGACCCUAAGGCUCAGGGAGAGAAACUUUGGACAAAACUGAAAACCCUGUCUUUAAUUCCAUCAAAUCAGGUAAAGAAUCUGGGCAUCAUCUUUGACUCUGAGCUGACUUUUAUUCCACAUAUUAAAAAUAUAACAAAAACAGGGUUUUAUCAUCUAAAGAAUAUAGCCAGAGUCCGCCCCUUUCUCUCCCGGACUAACACAAAGACGCUAAUGCAUGCUUUUAUCUCUAGUCGUCUUGACUAUUGUAAUGCCCUGCUUUCUGGUCUUCCAAAAAGAAACAUUGCAAGUUUAUAACUGUUGUAAAACUCAGCAGCACGUGUGCUGACGAGGACCAGAAGGUGGGCACAUAUUACACCGGUUUUAAAAUCACUGCAUUGGCUCCCUGUGUGCUCUAGGAUUGACUUUAAGGUCCUUUUAAUGGUUUUUAAAUGUCUUAGGGGUCCUGGACCGUCUUAUCUUUAAGAUUUGCUUUUACAACAUGAACCCUCGCAGACCCUGAGAUCCGCUGGCACUGGCCUUUUAAUAGUCCCCAAAGUGAGAACACAAACUUACGGUGAGGCAUCUUUCCAGCACUAUGGCCUCCAUCUUUGGAAUAGCCUGCCGGAGGACCUUGGGGCCGCAGAGAAUGUUCAUAUUUUUAAAAGCAGGCUCAAGACCCACCUUUUUAAUUUGGCUUUUAACUAAUGUAUUUAUUUAAUGUAUCUUAUAUUUAAUCUAUAUUUUUAUCCUAUUUUGAUCUUAUUUUAUUUCAAUUAUAUAUUUUAGUCCUCAUUUUACAUGUUAUGUUUAUUCGAUUUUUUCAAUUAUUUUUAAAUGAUAUUUUAGCUAUUUAUUAGUAUUUUAUAAUUUUAUCUAGUUUAAUGUUUUUAGCUGGUUUAGUUUAUGUUUUUAUUGCAUUUCUCCAGUGUUUCCUCAGUAAGGGGGCCACCUGCACUGGAGGCUGUGACUGGCUCUGUCUAGGGUUUCUCUGCCUUGCGAUGUGCACUCAGCUCGGCCAGGUGGUGGUCUGCAGCAGUGCUUGCUGCUGUGGGCCUCUUACUGGCCUGUAGCAGGGUGCGCACCCAAGUGGAGGUGUCUGGCCCUGGGCCGUGAGCGGCCUCCUGACGUUUCCUGACUUGGCUCCACUGUACUCAGCCGCAUGUUUUUAAGAUAACAUUAUCUGUGUGUGUGUGUGUGUGUGUGUGUGUGUGUGUGUGUGUGUGUGUGUGUGUGUGUGUGUGUGUGUUGGGGUGGGCUCUCGGUGAGGGUUGGGAGGGUGGGGUGGUGGGCUGGAUAUGGGGGGGCUCAUUGUUUUAAAUUGUAAAGCACUUUGUGCUGCAUUUCUUUUUGCCUGAAAAGUGCUAUAUAAAUAAAGUUUGAUUUGAUUUGAUUUACAUGGAGUAGCAAAGGAUUGAAUAUCUAAGUGUCCCUACUGUAUAAAUCAUAUCAAAAUCUUAUCCCUGGCUUUCAAGUGAGGUCCUGGUAUGUCUUCGUUUUAAGGGCUGUGUACCCCUUGACCUGAGCCCUUUCCUUUAACCUUACAGAGAACUGGGACACCCCUUCGCUUGAUGUGAACGCGCAAAACUGAGGGCUAAGGGGUACAAAUGGGGAUUGACUCCUUAGUCUCCCCAGGGAACUGGUACAUUAAGCUCCUGUUUUGCCCUCUCUGUCCUCUAGUUUAUGUGUCACAUACUUUAAAUCUGUAAGUCCUUUUUAAGUCCCUGACCACAGAUCUUUCUGGGUGUCCUUAAGCUCCCUUGUCUUGUUGGUUCCUCUGGAUUGCUGCUGCAGAUAUCCUGCUGAUGUGGACCUGCUGACUUUCUCACAUUUAUUACUACCAUUGUAAAGUUAAUGUUAAACUGUGUUAGACACUUUGCACCUGCUGUUUUUGUAGAGUGGUUUGGUGUGACGUCUUAUGUUAUAUAAAUUUAAUUUUUCUCUUGACUGGCUGACCUAAAUUGAUGGGGCCUUGUUUCUUACAUGUUACAGUAUAAGAACUUCUGUGAGUAUAGUUUUGGAUAGGAUAAAUGUGAAAUUAGCGAAGUCAGCGGCCAUAGUUCAGUGUCUCCCGGGGGCCAGAGCGGGCGACAUCGAAGGUAGUUUAAAACUGCUGGCAAAGGCUAAACGUAAAUUCCGUAAGAUUGUAAUACAUGUCGGCGUAAAUGACUCCCGACGCCGCCAGUCGGAAGUCACUAAAUUGAACGUGGAAUCGGUGUGUGAAUAUGCCAAGACCAUGUCGGGCUACGUAGUUUUCUCUGGUCCCCUGCCCGAUCAGACAACUGAUGAGAUGUGUAGCCGUAUCUCAUCAUUCAACCGCUGGCUGUCGAGGUGGUGUCCACAAAACGGCGUGAGCUUCAUUGAUAAUUGGAAGUCAUUUUGGGGCAAGCCUGGUCUGAUUAGUCGGGACGGCAUUCAUCCCACCCGAGAUGGAGCGGCCCGUUUAUCCAGAAAUCUGGCCGAUUUUAUUAAUCCGAACCACUGACAAUUCAAAGCAGAGAUCAGGGAGCAGGGCCGCAGUCUUACACGCCCCCCUGCGCCUCUUUUAGAGCAGCCUCCCAGCCACUACCACUUAUACACAGAGACAAGGGAGCAGAGCCGCAGUGUAAAACGCCCUUCUGUACUCCCUUCAGAGCAGCUUCCAAGCUACAAUCAGCUUGACUUAGAAAUCAGGGAGCAGAGCCACAGUGUAAAACGUCCCUCUGUACUCCCUUCAGAGCAGCUUCCAAGCUUCUCUCAGCUUGACAUAGAAAUCAGGGAGCAGAGCCACAGUGUAAAACGUCCCUCUGUACUCCCUUCAGAGCAGCUUCCAAGCUACUCUCAGCUUGACAUAGAAAUCAGGGAGCAUAGCCACAGCUCUACACGUUCCUCUGUACUUUUGUUAGAGCAGCCUCCUAGCUACUGUCACUUUAAUAUAGAGACUGUGUCUGUCCCUCGUACUCGGCUCUCAAAUUCUAACCGAUCAAUUAAAAAAGGAGUAAAUAACAAGAACCUUACUAGAAUUAAGACUGUUAACAUAGCUGAACCAAGUACUAGUAAGAUAAAAUGUGGCCUACUGAAUAUAAGGUCUCUAAAUUCAAAAUCUGUGUUAAUAAAUGAACUAAUCUCUGAUCAUCGCAUUGAUUUACUCUCCCUAACCGAAACAUGGCUGCGUAAGGAUGAAUAUGUAAGUUUAAAUGAAUCCACUCCUCCUAGCCACCUAAACUUUCACAUUCCUCGAGACUCUGGCCGAGGUGGUGGAGUUGCAGCUAUCUACAAUUCCAGUCUUAGAAUUAACCCAAGACCAAAACUAGAUUAUAACUCUUUUGAAAGUCUCGUUCUCAGUCUCCCGCACCCAGCCUCAAAGUCCAUGAGACCACUGGUAUUUGCUAUAGUUUACCGCCCUCCGAGCCCAUACUCUGAGUUUUUGUCAGAGUUCUCAGAGUUCCUAUCCGAAUUAGUCCUUCUCGCAGAUAAAGUCAUCGUCGUCGGUGACUUUAAUAUUCACAUAGAUGUGGAAAAUGAUAGCCUAAGCAUUUCUUUUCGGUCCUUGCUAGAUUCAAUUGGGUUUACACAGUGUGUACAUAGACCUACGCACUGCUUUAACCACACUCUCGAUCUCGUCCUGGCUUAUGGCCUCGAAACCGAUGCCCUGUUAGUCAGCUCAUUAAAUCCUCUAUUAUCUG
Molecule: long non-coding RNA, 48544 nt
Filed under: Xyrichtys novacula (pearly razorfish)
Lineage: Eukaryota; Metazoa; Chordata; Actinopteri; Labriformes; Labridae
Source: RNAcentral